Molecule: long non-coding RNA, 66704 nt
Filed under: Malus domestica (apple)
Lineage: Eukaryota; Viridiplantae; Streptophyta; Magnoliopsida; Rosales; Rosaceae
Description: long non-coding RNA (MDOM_LNC015876)
Source: RNAcentral
UUGAGAGUCCUCUAUCCACAGCUCCUCUAUCUUCCUCCUAAACCUUUUACCUUUCUUUUUUUCUUCUCCAAAGCUAGCAAGCUGAGAUUUCAACCUCUCCCUCUAAGAGGCAGCGACAUGCUUUUCCAAAUGCAGUCUGCAAUUUAAUCAAACAGCCAUCGAAUUUUCUGGAAUCCGGUCAACGCAGAGAUGCUUCGGAUUUUGACCGGUCAACGCUAGCUGCUUACCUGAGCUCCAACAGACCCAACAGUGAUAACGUCCUCCACCUCUGUUUCUGUUUGGAUGAUUAUGCUGUUUGGCUUCUUUCACCUCCGCAAGCUUGCUGCCAAUGUCGAAGGUAUGUCUCUGUGUGUUAUUGAAUUUGGGAGUGUUUGGUUGUGGGAACUGGAAUGAACUAAUGAAUGAAUGAACGACUGGAAACAUUCCCGAAGAGGUUGGAUCUUUACUUGGCAACCUUGCAAAACUGCGUUUCCUGUAUGAACCCCCAUCCUUUUGUUAGAGAAUAUCUGUCAUCUUUCUUUUUCAUUCGAUAUGCUAAUCUCCAGAGUCCAUUUUUAACAUCAAUUUAGGAAAAUUCUGAAGUUUUAACAUAGUUGACCAUCGUGGCGUUUUUGUUGACUUUUAGGGUUGACCGUUCAAUUUUCGUUGACUUUUUACAAAAUUUGCCCGGGAUCCCUCUUAGCGUAUUUUGAUGCUCUGAUUCCAAAUCUGCACUUCGUUUUCUCAAAUUUGAUCGUUUAAGUUGAGUUUUACUAAUGGGUCCCAAUAUUAUACUUGGGCGCGAUUAGUAUCAGAGAUUUCAACUUUCUUAGCUCAAAAGGAUGUGACAUCGUAAGUACCUGUGAGUGGGUCUUUUCUUAUAUAUAUAUAUAUAUAUGUUAGUUUCCAUUUAUAUAUUUGGUAAAGAAUUUUCUACGUUACACCUAGAUUAGGGUAACGUAUAUAAAAAUUAACGUAUUUACGGAAUUCAUGCAAUUAUACUACAUCUUACAGGAUACACAUGUAUGCGUAUUAGUAUGGAUGCUUUAAUGAUAUUUACGGUUAUGAAUAAUAUUUUGACUAGGGUUAUUGAAUUAUCAAAUUAUCAAUUUACCAUUGCAUGAUCAUAUUUGUGUUAUCUGCUUAUUGUGUGCUGCACUGGUGUUAGUACUUGCCUGAGCGAGGGCUAAUCUUUCAGGUGUAUGUUCAUAUCGCAUCAUAUGCUCACUUUGGAUCCAUUGUAGGUGCCAGUCAUGUCCUAGAUUGCGAUAGGCAAUUAGGACUCGUAUGUGACGCACUUAGCGCCCGUUCACGUGAUUGUAGUACUAGAGCGUGAAUCAUUAUUACAUCUAAUUCUGUUCAUGUCAGAAUACCUCUGCAUGAACUCAUGUGUCAACAUAUGCCAAUAUGGACUCGAUGUGAUAUGUUUAUUUUUGCGAGAUACUGUGAUUACUAGAAAUUAUGUACCUAUUUACAAAUUUUGUGACGUAUUGAAUUCUUGAGAUUUUGCAGGCUACGGUAAGUAUUUUCAUACUAUAUUUUGGAAAUAACCUCAAUUCAAUAAACAAUAGGUCAUAAUAAUUUAACAAAAAUUAAAAAUAAUUUUGUUUUUUGACAAAAUGAUCAAAAUAAUUGAUGAUGAAUAAAAUCAGAAAUCUCAUAACAAAGUUAAGAAUUGCAUAACAAUUUCAAGAAUCAGCUAAAAAGUCAAAAAUAAAUAUAAACAAAUGAAGAAACGAAACUUCCGAUGCGGCGGGCUACAGCUUUGCCUGAUUUUGCUGUUUAUUUUAACGAAAAAUCAUAUUUUUACACUAAAAAGUCAAUCAUGAUACUUUUCACUUUACUCUUUAUUUUAUCAUUAUCGUUAAAACUCAAAAUUUUCAAAUCAUUUUAAUUAGUUUUUCUUUAAAAUAAUUUAUAGUGGAUAAAACCAGAAAUCUCAUUUUGAGUGAGGAGUUGCAUAACAAUUUCAGGAAUCCACUAAAAAGUAAAAAAUAAAUAUAAACAAAAGAAGAAACGAAACUUGCGACGUGGUGGGCUGCGACUUAAGACUGAUUGAGAGUCCUCUAUCCGCAGCUCCUCCGUCUUCCCCCCGAACCUUUUACCUUUCUUUCUUUCUUCUCCAAGACUAGCAAGCUGAGAUUUCAACCCGUCUCUCUAAGAAGCAGCGGCAUGCUUUUCCAAACGCAAUCUGCAAUUUAAUCAAACAGCCACCGAAUUUUCUGGAAUCCGGUCAACGCAGCGAUGCUCCGGAUUUUGAUCGGUCAACGCCAGCUGCUUACCUGAGCUCCAAAAGACCCAACAGUGAUGACGUCCUCCACCUCUGUUUCUGUUUGGCUGAUUCUGCUGUUUGGCUUCUUUCACCUCCACAAGCUUGCUGCCAAUGUCGAAGGUAAUGCUCUGUGUGUUAUUGAAUUUGGGAGUGUUUGGUUGUGGGAACUGGAAUGAACUAAUGAAUGAAUGAAUGACUGGAAACAUUCCCGAAGAGCUUGGGGGUUUGUCGGACUUGGUGAGCUGGAUCAUUACUUGGCAACCUUGCAAAACUGCGUUUCCUGUAUGAACCCCCAUCCUUUUGUUAGAUAAAAUCUGUCGUCUUUCUUUUUCAUUCGAUAUGCUAAUCUACUGUUUUUAAUUGUUCCUUUGGAGUGACUUUCUUCCUUAAAGUCCAUGAUAGCAUUUCGGUUAAACCCAAAAUAUUACUUGGGUUGACUAUGAUCUCCCAAUAUUCUGGUCAAGGCACAAUACAAAACAAGUGAUAAAACAAUACGAAAAAAGAACAAAACAUGGGAAAACACGUAAUUGGAACCUUGAAGGCAAAUAUUCCAUGUGCCGGAUGCAUACAAUUUAAAAUAUGACCCCUGUCUUCAAGAUUCAUAAGAAGGGAACAUCCAAUCAUUGCAAGUCCUGUGGGUUUCAUACACUUUCAUCUCUGUAAGAGGGAGGAAGAGCGAAAAGUUACUAAUUUCUCCGCUAUCAGAGAAUGCUAAUAACAUUUAGUUUUGCCAUGGAAUGCAGGGAUCUUUCAAAUAACAAUCUGACGGGGGAUCUUUUUCACUUUUUACUCCCAUCACAGGUUUGUUCUAAAGUGAAUUACAUGCAGGUUUUUACAACUUAUACUUUUUCACUUUUAACGGGCUGAGCCCAAAUCCUAAACUUAUUACUUUCCAGAUGGCUCUGUUUUGUUCCACUUCCAGCCUCUCCACAUCCAGGUUUUUACAACUUAUACUGUUCUUGUGAUAUUAACUCAAAUUUAUUCUGAGAGCUGGCUCUAUUUUGUUUCACAGACACUUGUGAUAUCAACUCCAGUCCAGUCCUAGUUAAUGUUUUUUUUGGUGUUUUUCUGUUAAAACUUUUCGUAAUACAACAUUAUUGUUGGAAUCACUGCUGUAAAGAUUUUAAGAAGAUGGUAGUUAGGAAAGGAAUAGAUUGAGGGUAUUUAUAUUAUUCUGAUUAGAAAGUUAAGUGAAUUUAUUGUUUUUGAUUUGUAAACAAAUUGCUUACAAAUAAUCAAAUUCUAUUAAACAAAAAUAAUUGCUUACAAUAAAGUAUAACUAUAAAUAUCAUUGUAAAAUGUAUUUUAUAAAUAUUUUUAAUUUAUGUUUUUUAACGAAUUGAGAACGAAUCAAACUGAAUAUCAUAUUGUCUAUGUGUCUUUGGCAAAUGAUACUACAGGUUACUACCGAAUUUCGUACCUUAACCGAAUUGCGAACUCGAACCAUACCCUGUAUGUGGCAACUAUGGGUGCCAAGUACUGGGGCUAUUUCUGGAGGGGGGCUAUUGCUGGAGGGGUUGCUGCUGGUUCUGCUUUCCUGUUUGCUGCACUUGCAAUUGCAUUUGCUUAUUGUCGACGAAGAAAAUCACAGGAUUAUUUCUUUGAUGAACCUGGUUAGUGAACUAUUAAGAGUAAUAUAGCUUGAUCAAGUUGGCAUUGUAUGGGAUGCAGGUUUCACUCAUCUACUGUCUUUGCAGCUGAGAAGGAUCCAGAAGUUCAUUUACGACAGUUCAAAAGGUUCUUUGAGCGAGCUACAAGUUGCGACGGAUACCUUUAGCGACAAAAAUAUUCUUGGUAGUGGUGGAUUUGGUAAGGUUUAUAAAGGACGCUUAGAUGAUGGAACUCUGGUUGCUGUAAAAAGACUUAAAGAGGAGAGAACCCAAGGCGGGGAGCUACAGUUCCAAACAGAAGUUGAAAUGAUUAGCAUGGCUGUCCACCGCAAUCUGCUUCGUGUGCAUGGUUUUUGCACGACACCAACAGAAAGGCUGCUUGUAUAUCCUUUUAUGGCCAAUGGAAGUGUGGCAUCAUGUUUAAGAGGUACUCAUCUAAAUUGUUUGCUGCGUUGAUGAAUCUUUUUGUUUUCAUGACAUUAAAAUUUUUUUGGAUUACAUUGAUAUAAUGAACCUGACCAAUUUGGUUUGGAGUAUGAACACUGAUUUUUUUUUUUUAAUGUUUUUUUUUUCCUUCAAUUUUAAGUUAUCUUCUCGAUGCUGAUUUUAUUUUGUUUAAUUUGAAAAGGAUGACAAGAUGACCCUUUUUUGGGUAGGACGGGUGGUAUGAUAUGUGUUAGACCACAUUACCUGUUGCUUGUAAUUUGAAAUUCUCCUCUCAUAAGUAUGUGGAUAUAUUAUUGUAGAUCGUCCAGAAGGACAACCUGCACUUGAUUGGCCAAUAAGACAACGCAUUGCAUUGGGAUCUGCAAAAGGUCUUGCUUAUUUACAUGAUCACUGUGAUCCAAAAAUUAUUCACCGUGAUGUGAAAGCAGCAAACAUAUUGUUGGAUGUGGAAUUCGAAGCAGUUGUUGGAGACUUUGGGUUGGCUAAACUCAUGGACUACAGGGAUACACAUGUUACCACAGCUGUACGUGGCACAAUUGGUCAUAUAGCACCAGAGUACUUUUCAACUGGAAAAUGUUCCGAGAAAACUGAUGUUUUUGGAUACGGAGUCAUGCUUCUUGAACUCAUCACUGGGCAGAGGGCUUUUGAUCCUCAGCUUGCGAGUCAUGAUGACCCCAUGUUAGUUGAUUGGGUAUGCAUUUACAUCUUUCUGUUUGUGUAUGUAGCUAAUUUAUUGUUAUAUGCAAGAUUAUUAUUUCUUGGGAGCAGCCUCUCCAUAAAUGGGGGUAAGGCUAGCCGACAUUCACCUCUUCCAGACCCUGCGUAAAGCGGGAGCCUUGUGCACUGGGUACGACCUUUAUGCAAGAUUAUUAUUUCCCAACAACAUUUGCAUUUCCUUAGUAAUUAGCUUUUAGAAAAUAAGUUUGGUUUAAUUAGCUUUUAUUAGUUAGAGUUGUGAUUAGCUGUGAAGAUUUGUUUAUCUUUAUUUAUAACAAUCUAAGGUUUAAGCUGUCAGAGUUAAUUUUUGCAUUUCCUUAGUAAUUGUUACCAUUCCUGUUUGAUUAAUGUAAAAAUCACUUGUCUUUUUGGCCCGAAUGUUGAAAACAGUAAGAAUCAUGGAUCAAAGAAAAGAAAUAAUACUUAACUUUUAGAAAAUAACUUUAGUUUAAUUGGCUUUUAUUAGUUAGAGUUACGAUUAAGCUGUGAAGAUAUAUUUAUCUUUAUUUAUGACAAUCUAAGGUUUAAAUUGUCAGAGAUUAAUUAUUACAUUUCCUUGGUAAUUGUUGUUAGUAUUGUUGUUGCUUCUUUUGCCAAUGUAUUGGCCUUGCUGUGAUUUCUUGAAGAAUUUGGCAUGUGUUUUGUAUCGAUCCUAAUUUCCUCAUCAUCUCUUUAUUCUCGCUAUCUUGGCCUCUUGCUUCUUUCUAUUCUCUCUAUUUGCAUCUUUGUCAAUUGUUAUAUUUGAAUGACGAUGCAUUUUUGUAAGCUAUUUGAUUUUCUGGAGAUACUGCGGCCCUUCAAAUUUUGAACAUUACAACACAUUUUCACUCUCCUAGGUGCCCUCACCUUUUGUUUCAAAUUGUAGAACUAUCUGACGUUUUCCGUUUUAUUUUAACUAAAACAAUUAGGUCAAAAGACUACUGAAAGAUCGAAGGUUGGAAACACUUGUUGAUGCUGAUCUAAAUGGUAAUUAUGUUGACGAUCAAGUGGAGCAGCUCAUCCAAGUAGCUCUACUGUGCACACAAGGCACCCCAGGGGAACGACCCAAGAUGUCAGAGGUUGUUCGGAUGCUGGAAGGCAAUGGUUUGGCUGAAAGAUGGGAGGAGUGGCAAAAAGAGUAGGUGUUCCACCAAGAUUUCAACCCUAUUCAUCAUCCAAGUACUAAUUGUAUCAUAGACUCAACUUUUCAUAUUCCUCCUGAUGAGUUGUCCGGUCCCAAAUGAUAUGCUCGUUGGUUCUGUCCCCUGUAUACAUCUAAGAAGCCUUCAGAGGACUGGAGAAUGUCCAUUUCGUAUUUCAGUGAUACCACAUUUGUGCUUAUGUUUUGUCUUUGUUUUCAAUUUUGGUUUUGUCUUGCGUAUUUUUUAGAUCAUAAAAUGGAGCUGAUGCUAUUGUAAUUUGGGAUGUGCUAUCCACACAUCACUUUUUACUUCUCACACACCCCUUGUUAAUUUCUGUCCGUUGAUCUUCUUCAAUUCAUCUGAUCCGACGGCCGAAAACCAAAAAGGUGUGGGAGAAGUAAAAAGGGGUGUGUGGAUAUCACACCCCUUGUAAGUUUUAUAGGGUCAACUGGCAUUACGAAGUUAUAUGGUGCUAGCAGGAAUUAGGAAGGGCCAUAAAAGCACUCAUUCCUGAUGAUUUAUGUAUCUAUCUAGAAAUUAGUCUAAAUUGUCGAGUAAAUAAUCAUUCUAAACUUAUAACCAUCUAUAUAUUUUAGUGUUCCUAUAGAUCCUGUAGAUACGAUAAGGACACUAGGUCAAGUGCAUGGCUGGUUGCGGAUGGAUAGUGUUUGAAAUUUCAUUGUGAUCAUUGCAAGUGCGAAUUUGUGGCACCACCUUUAUAAGUACUUGAACUAAGGCAGUAGGGGAUCAGGAGAUCACUUUGUGUCAUUCCAACACAGGAAUUCGAGCUUUGUCUAAUCUCUUUAGAGUAUCGCCAAUGGGGAUCCCUCUACUAUCUUUGAGGAUUUAUUUAGGACUAGCUGUAGGGUAAGACCUAAACCUAAAUAUUUGAGUUUAAACAAAAUAAAAAUGCAAUCUAAUUGUGGGACUUUUUUGUUUUUUAUGAACAAAAAAAUAUUAUCUGGAUUGAGUUAAGCCUUAUAGUGGGCUAGUAAUGACCUCUCUUACAUGUGAAGAGGAAUACUAUUAAACCGUAGUACUAGGUAAUAUCUAAUGGUUGGACUUAAACCUAAAAGGUUUGGCUUUUGACCAAGCUAAACCCAAAUUUGGGUUUGUAUUUGGCUGACCCAAAUUUUUGGGGGCCCUACCUUUUUUUCUGAAAAGCAACGGGCCAAUGAUUUAUUGAAGUGGCCGCGGCAUAUGGGUUAGGGGUGGUUCGGUAUGGGAUCCCAUACCAAAACACUUGUCCCGAUUCUCAAACCGAAAUUUUCGGGAAUCCCAAUUUCAAUACCGAUCCCAAACCAAAUUUUCGGGAAUCCCAAUUUUUGGGAAUCCCAAAAUAGUUUCGGGAUUUCGGGACAAAUCGGGAAUCCCGAAAUGGUUUUGGGCUUUUGGGCUUUUAGACUAAAAUUUGACAUAUUAUGCUUUUAGGCCCAAUCUGCCAAUUUGUUUCUACAAAUCUGCCAAUCAAAUCUGCCAAUCAAAUGGCAAGGCUUGUUUCUACUAAUCUCUACUUAAUAUUAAUACUAACACUUAGUUUUCAUUUCGAUGCAGAGAGUGAUGGAUCAACUGCAAAAUAGUGAAAGAAAACUAAGAAGCUCAAAACUGUACACAAAAACCAAAAUCAAGCAAAACGAAGAAGCUCAAAACUGAACAUUGCAAAGUAAACGCCAGAAACUGAGCACAGAAACUGAGCAAGCAUGCCAAGAAUCAAAGCAAACCCCACAAGAGUCAAGAAAUGAUAAUUGAGUCAUUCGAAGAGUACCCAGACAAGUUCUGUGCACAAAUUUGACAAUAUGGCUAGCAAAUAGCAAGCAAACAACAAAUAAUUAACAAGAACUAGUAACAGUGAGCAGAAUCAUAAGGUCUGAUUAGCUCACCUUCAUCAAGCACAAUUCCGACGUUCAAUCCCUUGAAAACAUCAGAUUCAGCCAGCUUCUCAGCACCGUCGUGUCCCCCAAUCUCCUCAUCAGGACCAUAUGACAAAUAAACAGACCUUUUGGGCUUAAACCCAGAAGCCUUGAGCCGUCGAAUCGCCUCCAAGUACUGAAUCCCGACGCACUUCAUGUCCUGGGACCCCCUGGCGUAAACGUCGCCGUUCGAGUCCAAGUUGGCCGAGAAAGGGGGGGUGUAACCACUUGUCGUGCUCGGCCGGAACGAUGUCGGUGUGGGAAUUGAGAAGAACAGAGGAGAGAGAGAUGAGAUGAGGGCUUGUCGGCUAGAUGAGGGAGAGAUCAGAGAUGAGAGAUUAGGGCUCGGCUAUUCGAUUUGAUAGAAACAAUGGAACGAAAGUGAAGUUUGUGAAAUGGUAUUCUGACCUAAAAACAUAUGAACGGCAAAGAUUAAAUCCAAAACAAUGAACGGUUGAAAUAAUUCUUUUAUAAUUAAAAGAAAAAAAAAAAAUAUAUAUAUAUAUAAUAUUUAUUUUCGAUUCGGUCUGGGAAUACCGAAAAUUUGAGAUUCAAAACCGAAUCCCAUACCGAAAAUAUCGGUUUGGUUCGGGAUUACAUACCGAAAAUUUCGGGAUUUUUGGUUUGGGAUUUUUUUGGUUUGAGAUCGGGAUUUUUUUGGUUUGGUUUGGGAUUUUUGGGAUUUUUUUCCGGGUUCCUCAUGCCAGCUGCAAAACAAUUUCAGGAAUCAGCUAAAAAGUCAAAAAUAAAUAUAAAUAAAAGAAGAAACGGAACUUCCAACGCGGUGGGCUGCGACUUUGCCUGAUUCUGCUAUUUAUUUUAACGAAAAAUCAUAUUUUUACAUUAAAAAGUCAAUCAUGAUACUUUACCUUUUAUUUUAUUAUUAUCGUUAAAACUCAAAUUUUUCAAACUAUUUUCAUUAAUUUUUCUUUAAAAUAAUUUAUAAUGCAUAAAACCAGAAAUCUCAUUUUGAGUGAGAAGUUGCAUAAACAAUGUCAGGAAUCCGCUGAAAAGUAAAAAAUAAAUAUAAACAAAAGAAGAAACGAAACUUCCGACGCGGUGGGCUGCGACUUAGACUGAUUGAGAGUCAUGUAUCCGCAGCUCCUCCGUCUUCCUCCCAAACCUUUUACCUUUUCUUUCUUUCUUCUCCAAAACUAGCAAUCUGAGAUUUCAACCUCUCUCUCUAAGAAGCAGCGGCAUGCUUUUCCAAACGCAAUCUGCAAUUUAAUCAAACAGCCACCGAAUUUUCUGGAAUCCGGUCAACGCAGCGAUGCUCCGGAUUUUGAUCGGUCAACGCCAGCUGCUUACCUGAGCUCCAAAAGACCCAACAGUGAUGACGUCUUCCACCUCUGUUUCUGUUUGGCUGAUUCUGCUGUUUGGCUUCUUUCACCUCCACAAGCUUGCAGCCAAUGUCGAGGGUAUGUCUCUGUGUGUUAUUGAAUUUGGGAGUGUUUGGUUGUGGGAACUGGAAUGAACUAAUGAAUGAAUGAAUGACUGGAAACAUUCCCGAAGAGCUUGGGGGUUUGUCAGACUUGGUGAGCUUGGAUCUUUACUUGGCAACCUUGCAAAACUGCGUUUCCUGUAUGAACCCCCAUCCUUUUGUUAGAUAAAAUCUAUCGUCAUUCUUUUUUAUUCGAUAUGCUAAUCUGCUGUUUUUAAUUGUUCCAUUGGAGUGACUUUCUUCCUUAAAGUCCUUGUGCCGGAUGCAUAUAAUUUAUAGUAUGAUCCCUGGUUUCAAGAUUCAGUCAUUGCAAGUCCUGUGAGUUUCAUACACUUUCAUCUCAGUAAGAGGGAGGAGAGAGUGAAAAGUUACUAAUUUCUCUGCCAUCAGAGAAUGCAAAUAACAUAUAGUUUUGCCAUGGAAUGCAGGGAUCUUUCAAAUAACAAUCUGACAGGGGAUAUUCCAGUUAAUGGAUCGUUUUCACUUUUUACUCCCAUCAGGUUUGUUGAAGCAACUGUACUCUUUUUCUUUAACUUUAGGGACAAAAAUAACAAUCUGACAGGGGAUACACUUUCAUCUCAGUAAGAGGGAGGAGAGGGUAAUAUAGCUUGAUCAAGUUGGUGUUGUAGUUGUUGUAUGGGAUGCAGGUUUCACUCAUCUACUGUCUUUGCAGCUGAGAAGGAUCCACAAGUUCAUUCACGACAGCUCAAAAACUUUUCUUUGCGCGAGCUACAAGUUGCAACAGAUACCUUUAGCGACAAAAAUAUUAUUGGUAGAGGUGGAUUUGGUAAGGUUUAUAGAGGACGCUUAGCUGAUGGAACUCUGGUUGCUGUAAAAAGACUUACAGAGGAGAGAACCCAAGACGGGGAACUACAGUUUCAAACAGAAGUUGAAAUGAUUAGAAUGGCUGUCCACCACCGCAAUCUGCUUUGUCUCCAUGGUUUUUGCAUGACACCAACAGAAAGGCUGCUUGUAUAUCCUUAUAUGGCUAAUGGAAGUGUGGCAUCUUGUUUAAGAGGUACUCAUCUAAAUUGUUUGCUGCGUUGAUGAAUCUUUUUGUUUUCACGACGUUAAAUUUUUUUUCGAUCACAUUGAUAUAAUGAAUUUAAAAACCUGACCAAUUUGGCUUGGAGUAUCAACACUAAUUUUUUUAAUGUUUUGUUUCCUUCAAUUUUAAUUUACCUUCUCGAUGCUGAUUUUAUUUCUGUUUAAUUUGAAAAGGAUGACAAGAAGACCCUUUUUUUGGGUAGGACGGGUGGUAUGAUAUGUGUUAGACCACAUUACCUGUUGCUUGUAAUUUGAAAUUCUCCUCUCAUAAGUAUGUGGAUAUAUUAUUGUAGGUCGUCCGGAAGGACAACCUGCACUUGAUUGGCCAAUAAGACAACGCAUUGCAUUGGGAUCUGCAAGAGGCCUUGCUUAUUUACAUGAUCACUGUGAUCCAAAAAUUAUUCACCGUGAUGUGAAAGCAGCAAACAUAUUGUUGGAUGAGGAAUUCGAAGCAGUUGUUGGAGACUUUGGGUUGGCUAAACUCAUGGACUACAAGGAUACAUAUGUUACCACACAUGUAUGUGGCACAUUUGGUCAUAUGGCACCGGAGCACUUUUCAACUGGAGUGUCUUCCGAGAAAACUGAUGUUUUUGGAUACGGAGUCAUGCUUCUUGAACUCAUCACUGGGCAGAGGGCUUUCAAUCCUCAUCUUGCGAGUGAUGAUGAUGUCAUGUUAGUUGAUUGGGUAUGCAUUUACGUCUUUCUGUUUGUGUAUGUAGCUAGUUCAUUGUUAUAUGCAAGAUUAUUUCCCAACAACAUUUGCAUUUCCUUAGUAAUUAGCUUUUAGAAAAUAAGUUUGGUUUAAUUAGCUUUUGUUAGUUAGAGUUAUGAUUAGCUGUGUAGAUUUGUUUAUCUUUAUUUAUAACAAUCUAAGGUUUAAACUGUCAGAGAUUAAUUAUUGCAUUUCCUUAGUAAUUGUUACUAUUGUUGUUGCUUCUUUUGCCAAUGUAUUGGCAUUUUGUGAUUUCUUGAAGAAUUUGGCAUAUGUUUUGUGUCGAUCGUAAUUUCCUCAUCAUCUCCUUAUUCUCGCUAUCGUGGCCUCUUGCUUUUUCCUAUUCUCUCUAUUGCAUCUUUGUCUUCUCUUUGCAUGAUAUCAAUAUUUGAAUGACGAAACAUUUUUGUAAGCAGUUCGAUUUUCUGUAGAAAACUGCGGUCCUUCAAAUUUUGAACAUUACAACACGUUUUUGUUCUCCUAGGUUCCCGCACCUUUUGUUUCAAAUUGUAGAACCACCCGACAUUUUCUGUUUUAUUUUUCCUAAAAAAAUUAGGUCAAACGACUACUGAAAGAACGGAGGUUGGAAAGACUUGUUGAUGCUGAUCUAAAUGGAAAUUAUAUUGACGAUCAAGUGGAGCAGCUGAUCCAAGUAGCUCUACUGUGCACACAAGGCUCCCCAGGGGAACGGCCCAAGAUGUCAGAGGUUGUCCGAAUGCUUGAAGGCGAAGGCGAAGGUUUGGCUGAAAGAUGGGAGGAGCGGCAAAACGAGGAGGUGAUCUGCCAAGAUUUCAACACUAUUCAUCAUCCAAGUACUUGGAUCAUAGACUCACCCUCUCCUAAUUUUGUGUUGUACUAUUUCUUUGAGUUUGAAGAAAUGGAUAAAAAGAAUGACAUGUGAUAGAGAGUUCAUCAUAUAACUUCUGACUUUAAGGAUUUUUCAUUUAGUUCUGGUUCAUGUUGCGCAAAUAAUAUUAGGUAACACUGCUACUGGGGCUAUUGCUGGAGGGGUUGCUGUUGGUGCUGCUUUAACGUUUGCUGCAACUGCAAAUACACUUGCUUAUUGGCGACGGAGAAAACCACAGGAUCAUUUCUUUGAUGUACCUGGUUAGUGAACUAUAGGAGUAAUAUAGCUUGAUAAAGGUGGUGUUUUAGUAUGGGAUGCAGGUUUCACUAAUCUACUGUCUUUGCAGCUGAGGAGGAUCCAGAAGUUCUUUUAGGACAGCUCAAAAGGUUUUCUUUGCGCAAACUACAAGUUGCAACGGAUAACUUUAGUAACAAAAAUAUUCUUGGUAGAGGUGGAUUUGGUAAGGUUUAUAAAGGACGCUUAGCUGAUGGAACUCUGGUUGCUGUAAAAAGACUUAAAGAGGCGAGAACCCAAGGUGGGGAGCUGCAGUUUCAAACAGAGGUUGAAAUGAUUAGCAUGGCUGUCCACCGCAAUCUGCUUCGUCUGCAUGGUUUUUGCAUGACACCAACAGAAAGGCUGCUUGUAUAUCCUUAUAUGGCUAAUGGAAGUGUGGCAUCAUGUAUAAGAGGUACUCUUCUAAAUUGUUUGCUGCGUUGAUGAAUCUUUUUGUUUACACAUGGGUAAAUUGCAUUUUACACCCUCAGGUUUGAGUGUAAUUGCAACCUCAUACAACAUUUUAAAACAUUUCAAUUUUAUUUAUUUACUUAUCAUUUUUAGCAAUUUCAUACAUCUGAUAGUCAAACCGUCAGUUUGACUGUUAAGGGAUGACAUGGCAAAUGUGAGGUCUACAUUUUGUUGACGGGGAUGCCAACUAUGAUUCACGUGGAAUAAAAACAAAUAAAAAGGAUUAAUAAAUAGAAAAUUAAUUUUUUUUUAAUUUAAAACUAAAAAAAUAGAAAAGAUUAAAAAAAAAAAAUGGUGUUGUUCAUCCCUAUCCUGCUCUCACCCCGUCCCCGCAUUCUUCAUUUCCCCCCGCCCACCAUCGCCACCUUCCCUUUCCUCAGCCACUGCAAUGAAUAGACCACAUUACCUGUUGCUUGUAAUUUGAAAUUCUCCUCUCAUAAGUAUGUGGAUAUAUUAUUGUAGAUCGUCCCGAAGGACAACCUGCACUUGAUUGGCCAAUAAGACAACGCAUUGCAUUGGAAUCUGCCAGAGGCCUUGCUUAUUUACAUGAUCACUGUGAUCCAAAAAUUAUUCACCGUGAUGUGAAAGCAGCAAACAUAUUGUUGGAUGAGGAAUUCAAAGCAGUUGUUGGAGACUUUGGGUUGGCUAAACUCAUGGACUACAGGGAUACACAUGUUACCACAGCUGUACGUGGCACAAUUGGUCAUAUAGCACCAGAGUACCUUUCAACUGGAAAAUGUUCCGAGAAAACUGAUGUUUUUGCAUACGGAGUCAUGCUUCUUGAACUCAUCACUGGGCAGAGGGCUUUUGAACUUGCUCGGCUUGCGACCAAUGAUGAUGUCAUGUUACUUGAUUGGGUAUGCUUAUACGUGUUUCUGUUUCUGUUUGUUGCUAAUUUUCUGUUUUCCUUAAUAUGUUUCAUAUUUUAUUAAAAAAAAAAGACAUAAUGUUGUUGAAAUUCAACGAUCUAUUGUGUCUCUUUGUCCAAAUCUUGGAAAUUAUGUUUCAAUACUCAUUUUUAAAGAAAUGUUAUAUAAUAUAGUGUGAAUUAGGUGUAUCUCUCGAUACCAAUGUUGCUAUUUAUUUAAGCCAAAAAUAAUGGGUCUCGACACCUAAUCACUUUAUUUCAAACCGCUAAUCUCAUAUGACAUUCUUAAUCAUUGUAUAUGGAACAUUUAAAAACCUAUUACUCAUCAUAGAGCUGCCAAGUUCCUCUCUAAUUAAUGUAAAAAUCACUUAGUCUUUUUUGGCCCGAAUAUUGAAAACAAUUAGAAUCAUGGAUCAAAGAAAAGAACUAAUACUUAACUUUUAGAAAAUAAUUUUAGUUUAAUUACCUUUUAUUAGUUAGACUUACGAUUAAACUGUGAAGAUUUAUUUAUCUUUAUUUAUAACAAUCUAAGAUUUAAAUUGUCAGAGAUUAAUUAUUACAUUUCCUUGGUAAUUGUUGUUAGUAUUGUUGUUGCUUCUUUUGCCAAUGUAUUGGCCUUGCGGUGAUUUCUUGAAGAUUUUGGCAUGUGUUUUGUAUCGAUCCUAAUUUCUUCAUUAUCUCUUUAUUCUCGCUAUCUUGGCCUCUUUCUUCUUUCUAUUCUCUGUUUGCAUCCUUGUCAUAUGUUUGCAUCAUAUCAAUAUUUGAAUGACGAUGCAUUUUUGUAAGCAGUUUGAUUUUAUGGAGAUACUGCAGCCCUUCAAAUUUUGAACAUUACAACACAUUUUCACUCUCCUAGGUGCCCUCACCUUUUGUUUCAAAUUGUAGAACUAUCUGAUUUUUUUCCUUUUUAUUUUAACUAAAAUAAUUAGGUCAAAGGACUACUGAAGGAUCAGAGGUUGGAAACAAUUGUUGAUGCUGAUCUACAUGGAAAUUAUGUUGACGAUCAAGUGGAGCAGCUCAUCCAAGUAGCUCUGCUGUGCACACAAGGCACCCCAGGGGAACGACCCAAGAUGUCAGAGGUUGGCCGGAUGCUGAAAGGUGAUGGUUUGGCUGAAAGAUGGGAGGAGUGGCAAAAAAAGGAGGUGUUCCGCCAAUAUUUCAACCCUAUUCAUCAUCCAAGUACUAAUCGGAUCAUAGACUCAACUUCUCAUGGUCCUCUAGAUGAGUUGUCCGGUCCUAGAUGAUAUGCUCGUUGGUUCCGUCCCCUUGUAUACAUGUAAGAAGCCUCAGAGGACUAGAGAAGGUCCAUUUUGUAUUUCAGUGAUACCACAUUUGUGCGAAUGUUUUGUCUUUGUUUUCGAUUUUGUUUUUGUGUCGCUUAUUUUUAAGAUCACAAAAAUGGAGCUGGUGCUGUUGUAAUUUUUAUAGGGUUAACUGGCAUUACGAAGUUAUAUUGUGCUAGCAGGAAUCAGGAAGGUCCAUAAAAGCACCCAUUCCUAAUGAUUUAUGUAUCUUUCCAACAAUUAGUCCAGAUUGUCGAGUAAAUAAUCUUUCUGAACUUAUAACUAUCUAUAUUUUUUAGUGUUCUUAUAGAUCCUAUAGAUACAUCCUAUAGAUACGAUAAGGGCAUUAGGUCAAGUGCAUGGGUGCUUGUGGACGGAUAGUGUUUGAAAUUUCAUUGUGAUCAUUGCAAGUGCAACUUUGUGGCGCUACCCUUAUAAGCACUUGAACUAAGGCAUUAGGGGAUCUAGAGAUCACUUUGUGUCACUCCAACAUGGGAAUUCGAGUUGUCUAUCCUCUUUAGAGAAUCGCCAAUGGAGACCCAAACCUAAAUAUUUGGGUUUAAACAAAAUAAAAAUGGAAUCUAACGGUGGGACUUUUUUUGUUUUUUUGAACAAAAAAUAUUAUCUACAUUAAAGGGGUAGGGGAUUAUGUUAAUCCUUAUAGUGAACAAAAAAUUACUAUUUAAUAUUUUAUAUAUUUAUUCAAAAUUUUAUAUUAUUAUAUCACUAUUUUAAUAUUUUCUUUGUGAUAUAUUUUUAUUUUUUUAUUAAUAUUUUCGGCCUGUGGGGUCCACAAUCACCCAGGCUCUUCUCUCAUUUUCUGCCAUGUGUUUUGUCUCCUCCCUCACUCCACCUCUCCCUCUCUCCCAUAAGACUCAUUUCCUCUCUCCUUCGGUGAAACCCAAUGACGCCGAAACCACCACCACCUUGCCGAUGCGACUCCAGCGGGUUACUCCACUUGAUGACCCAGGCUAGCACCACCUUCGUCAUUUUCUCCCCCUAUGUCGAACCAGCACCACUCACUUUCUUCCCCGAGGCCAUUGUUCACAUUUUUCUUUUUCGACAACAUUCAUGGCGAGUUCUCGUCGUUCAUGACAAAGGUAAGGUUCGAAAACCCUCAACAUCUUCGUAGAUUGUGUUUAUGAGUAUGACGAGGAUGUUCUUAAGAUGUUUUAGUGCUGGUUUGACGUAGAAAUACCCCAAGAGUAACAAACCCAGUGUUCCGGCAGAGAUCUGGCGGCUUUCGAGCCAUUUUUUGGCCAACUCCGGCCAAGACCAAGGAAACCAAAGGUAUAUUCCAAUUCCUUGAUCCGAAUCUGAACUCGGGAUCCGGCCCGAUCUGUUCUAAAUUGUAUAUGAAAUAUUCCAGAAUAUUCCCUGUGUUGACUUUUAAGAAAUUUUCUCAGAAACCCUCAUAGGCUAAUUUUGACGUCCCAAGUCCAUUUUUGACAUCUAUUUAGGAAAAUCAUGAAGUUUUAACAUAGUUGACCACCAAGGCGUCUCGUUGACAUUUUAGGGUUGACCGUUCACAUUUCGUUGACUUUUUACAAAAUUUGCAUUUAACCCCUCUUAGCGUAUUUCGACACUCUGAUUCUAAAUUCGCACUCCGUUUUCUCAAAUUUGAUCGUUUAAGUUGAGUUUUACUAAUGAGUCCUAAUAUUAUACUUUGGUGCGAUUACUAUCGGAGACUCCGACUUUCUUAGCUUGAAAGGAUGUGACAUCGCAGGUACUUGUGAGUGGGUCUUUUCUUUUAUAUAGUGUGUAUAUAUAUAUAUAUAUAUAUAUAUAUAUUUGUUAGUUUCCAUUUAUAUAUUUGGUAAAGAAUUUUCUAAGUUACACCUAUAUUAGGGUAACGUAUAUAAAAAUUAACGUAUUGACAGAAUUCAUGUAAUUAUACUACGUUCUAUGGGAUACACAGGUAUGCGUAUUAGUAUGGAUGCUUUAAUGGUAUUUACGGUUAUGAAUAAUAUUCCAUUGACUAGGGUUAUUGAAUUAUCGCAUUAUCAAUUUACCAUUGCAUGAUCAUAUUUGUGUUAUUUACUCAUCGUGUGCUGCACUGGUGUUAGUACUUGCCCAGGCCAGGGCCAAUCUUUCACGUGUAUGUUCACAUCGCACUGUACGCUUAGUUUGGAUCCAUUGUAGGUGUAAUCCUAUCCUAGAUUGCGAUAGGCAAUUAGGACUCAUAUGUGAGGCACUUAGCGCUAGCCUUCACGUGAUUGUAGUACUAGAGCGUAAAUCAUUGCUUACACCCAGUCAUGUUCAUGUCAGAAUACCUCUGCAUGAACUCGUGUAUCAGCAUAUGUCAAUGAGCACUCGAUGUGAUAUGUUUAUUUCUGCGAGAUAUUGUGAUUACUAUAAGUUAUGUACCUAUUUAUGAAUUUUGUGACGUAUUGAAUUCUUAAGAUUUUGCAGGCUACAGUAAGUAUUUUCAUACUAUACGUAGUAUGUAAAUUUUGGAAACUAUACUUGUUUUACGAUAAGGGGUUAUAAUGUUUUCAAAAAGCUUUUUAUAAAACUUUAUUUUAGGCCCACUCACCCUUGUUUUUCUCCCCUCUAAGAUUUAGUGGCAAUGUUCGUGUCGACAAGGAUUUCUAGCAAACGCUGAUAUCAGAGACUACUUCUGAUGGUAUAAUUCUCAAUCUACUCUAUUGUACUUUACUUAUACUCUGACAUCACAUGUGAACUAGGUUGAUUCCCGCUCACUAACGCACUCUUAUACUUAGGCACUUUUAGAUUUAAAUUUAUUUCCAUUUUCCAAAUCACUAUAUUUUAUGGCUUCGUCACUCUCCUGGUGUCGACCAGCACACCUCGAUUCGGAGCCUAAGUAGGCAUUCCGGGUCAGGGUGUGUCAGUUUGGUAUCAGAGCAUAAGUUUGGUCAGCAUUGCGUUCAUCACACGCGUGCUGUAAGCAUUCUUGGUUCUUGAACCUAAUUGUCGAAUCUUGUCACCUCGUCGAAUACAAAAAAUGUGUUAGCUUUUCUUGAGUUAUGGGUUACUUAGACGACUUAUUGACAUGUUAGAAGAAUACUUUGGCGACCACCUCUAAACUUUAAGCGAAGGAUUUUCCUGCCAAGGAAAUAUGUAGAUUUGAGACAAGUUGAUGGCCCUGAAGCAGGGCUACUAUAUCGAUAGUUGUGCAUCACGAGAGAUUUACCAACCAAAUCCACUACCAUCUGGUCAUUUCUACCAACCCUUUUAAGUUAGAAAACCAUAAACAGUUUUGAUUCCUUGGCAUUACCCGUUAGUAUACCACAUAUCAGAAUUCCUGUGAAGUUUUAGUUUUUGUCAAAAUUUCCAAAAAUGUCCCGAAUGACAAUGUGGUGCUAAAAGGGUAGCAUUCGACAGAAGAACAUCUAGGGGAUAAUCACUUUUGUUCCCUGAUAACACUAAUCUUCUUAAGCGCACUGGUUAUCAUUUCGGAUCCUCAGGAGGAAGAUCGAUUUCCAUUUAGGUUAUUAACAAAUUUCUUUUCCGGUGUGGACCCCACCAUUGACAUUUGGUCAACAGGUCUUGAACCAUUUGAAUUACUAAAAUUAGUAUUACUAGAGACUCAGUGAAGCUUUGCUGACUUGUCUCGGUGAGUGACUUUAAUAUAUGUGAUAUGGUGAUUACCCGAUUCUUUAUAUUACUAUCCUUUGUGGAUAUGACAUGGUUUUAUAAAUGUGUUUUCUGUUAAAAUGUGAUUCUUUUAUAAUUGGCCAUCGAUCUAUUUUUAUUAAAUGUGAUUUGAUUCAUGGAUUGGUAAUAUUUGUGAAAAAGUGAUUCGAAUUGCAUAUUGAAAUGUUUUGUAAAUUGAGGGCUAGUAGAGGACUAUGACCCUGCUUGGUUAAUCCGCAUUGGGGGGUCAUUAGUGGUCCUGCUUGGUUAAUCCGCAUUGAGGGACCAUACUAUAUAUGGAUCGUGCUUGGUUAAUCUGCGUUGGGCGAUCCUUAUGGCCAUUUAUACUUAGGGGUGAUCAUGCUUGAUUAAUCCGCUUGGUUAAUUCGCAUUGGGGGGGGGGUGAUGAGUUCAUAUUAUACUAUAUAUUUCACCCUAUUCUUAGUAUUAAUUUAUUGAUUAUUUUGGUAGAAUUUUGAUACUUUGUUUUAUAUUUUCAACAUAGGAUAUUCAAUUUCCUCUGGAACAAAACUUGACCAAAUGGACGAAAUUUCGAGUGAUUCAAAUUGGAGGACGUUCGUGUGUUGUUUGUGUCAAAAUAUCAGAAAUUUCUACCAAGCGGUUAUUUUCUGGAGAUUAAAUGAAGGAGCAGUGCGCAUUGCUGGAAAGUGACAUUUCUGGGCUUAAACUACAUUUUUGGAGCCCGAGAUGACUUCGGCUGGAGAAGUGUUCAGAAUAGUCCAAACUUUAGAUCCAGCUAUUUUGGGCCAGUUUAGGAUUAUAUUUCCUAUUUUAUUUCUAUUUAUUACGUUUCCUGGUUUUAUUCUAAGACCUUUUAGGGUUUUAUUUUGUAUUAGUAUAAAUAAGGCUUUUUAGCCAUUAGGUUAAGAAAUAGGGGAGAGAACGCACACAUUUUGGCUUUAGAGAGCUUUUGACGAAUCAAGUGUAUUUUCAAGGUGUUUUCUAUCCAUGUUUUUAAUAAUAUUUUAUUUUAUGAUUGUUUGUAAUUAGUUUUGUUUGCUAGGGUGAGGCCACGAGCCUUAGCAAAAAUAUGUAUUUUUUUUUUCAAUUUGCUUAUAAUAUUAUGCAUGCAAGUUUUGAAUUAUUAACCACUGUGCUUUAAACUAUCUAGUUGUCUUGAUGAUUGGCCACCAUUAGGAUAUUUAGAAAAGUAAUUUGAUGCAAUUUUGGUGGAGGGCUGUCCCUGGAAUUGGCGUUGGCUUCUUGUGGUUAAUAUGUGUAACCUCUUAGGAUGGACGACAUGUUUUAAGGGUUAUAUGGUUUUUCAAAAGGUUUUCACAAAACUUAAUGAGUCUUGCAUGUUCACAUUCGAUCUGGACGCCACAGACGGGUUUCAAGUAGGGCAUACUUUAGGAAAACCUAACCUUCAAAAUAUGCAUGGGUAAUUCAUAAGUAAUUGAAAGAACUACGUAGAAUUGUUAAGGUGACAACGGAACCCUAGUGCUCAAAUUUAUUUUCAAAACUAUUUUCUUUUGUUUUUUUUUAUUACUUUGCCAAUUUAUUUAAUUUUUUUUAAUAAAAUUCAUUUUUAAUAUUUUAGGUCAUAAAAUCAACCUCUUCUAAAUUUUGUUUUCAAAUCAUUAAUUAAGAUUUGGUUUUAACAUAAAUUAUUCAUUCAAUCCCUGUGGAGAUCGACCUUACUUGAGCUGCUAUACUAUGACAACCUUGUACUCUUGCAAGUAUUUUUAAAUGUUUUUAUCUCUAAUUUUGCAGGUGGUAAAAAUCCCUACCAGAGGGUCACUAGUGGUCUUGCUUGGUUAAUCCACAUUAGGGGACCAUACUAUAUGUAAAUCGUGCUUGGUUAAUCCACGUUAGGCGAUCCUUAUGGCCAUGUAUGCUUAGGAGUGAUCAUGCUUGGUUAAUCCGCAUUGGAUGAUCACUUCCUAACAGCUGUAGGAGUGACUCUGCUUGGUUAAUCCGCUUUGGGGGGGUCACUGCCUACUUGGUUACUUUCUCAUGGGUGGCUUUGCUUGGUUAAUCUGUUUUGGGAGGCCACUUCGUGUUUGGUUACUUAUGUAGGCUUCUGCCGAACUGCGUCCCUCUAGCCCUAGUUUUUAAUGUACAUAUGAACGAUGGUUUUUGAGAAUCUUGGUGGUUUGAAUGGGAAAAGCCAUUGGAUGUUUGGGUGACUCAUUCGGAGUUGUUAGAGACUUGACUAUGUUUUCAUAUUUACAAACUUAUAUUUGAGGUUUAUAAACUGUGAUUGAUGGUCUUUCUUUUUAUUGAUUAUCACAUACUUGUAUUAUUGUCACUCACCCGAUUUUACAUAUGACAGGCCUGGGUAGAUUAUGAGAAACCGCUUGAUAUUUUGGUUUCAUUGAGUAAUCCGGAACCCGGUGUCGUUGGAUUCCGUUGAGUGAUUCGAAAUCCUUGUUCUCGCUCAUUCCCAUAAGGUUAGUCUAGAACCCUAGAUUUGAGUGAAUGAAAAUUACCCACAAUAGACCUUGUGAAUAUGAAAUAGAUUUACCAUGUUAUUACUGAUAAUCCAAGUAGAAAAUUAUAUAGAGUUCCUUGGUUAAAUUUGUGAAAUGAUAUGUUAUUGCAUUCAUUGAUUAGCAUAUUUAAAUGCUAAGAUCAUGUAUCUUUGAUUCAUGAAUUGAUUGAUUGACGGAAUUGUGGAAUGACUUGGUUAUGGUUGUUAUUAUUUUGAUUAUUUUAGUUGAUCAAUGUGGCUUGAGAAUAAUAUGUGCUUCGUUGGUUAUUUGAUAUGUUACAUGUUGUGGAUGGAAGUAUCGUGCUGAAAACAUAGAAUUUAUAUGAUGGAUGGAAUGAGAAUCUUGAACGGCAUGUUGGUUUGUUUUGUAGCCAUGAACUUGGUAAUGUCAUGCAUGUCAAGUUCUAAUAAUUGAUUACAGAAUGCUAUGUAUUCCUAUUAGAACGCACUGGAAUAAAUGUCUAAAUUAGUGAACGAUGAACUACGAACGGCUUGAUCCCUAAUGAGGGUACGUAGGCAAUCUAACGAGGAGGUUAGAUGCAGCCAUAAAGUAUACGAAAAAUUACUAUGCGAUUCAAUUCUCAAGUUGUGAUUUGCCAUAUCCCGGAGGCGGGGUAUGUUGAGAUACGGGUAUUUGGUGACGUCACAUGUCGAUCCUGAACAUAUGUUGGGAUCGGGGCGUGACAUUUUUGAUCACUUCCAUAGGUAGACAGUAGAAUCAAAGUACGAGUUAAUUUCUUGCUAUUAAAGUGAAUUGAGUAUCGAGAAAACUAUGAAGACCUUUUAGUUCAUGUCGUAGAGUUGGGAAGUAGUAUUGUACGUUUUGAUGACGUAUAUCCAAGUGUCUAUUUCAAAAAUUUACCUGAGAUAUCACCAAAUUGUGAAGUAAGAUACACUAUCAACCUAUUUUCUAAUACGACACCUAUUAUCCUUGCAUCUUAUCGAACGACUCCUUUGACUUGAGAAACUUAGUUACAAAAGCUUAUCGAUUAGGAAUUCACCCAACCAAACACUUUAUCUAGGGAACCCUAAACCUAUCCAAGAAGACAAUAGGUUGAACCUUAAAACUGUAUCUAGAUUUUAGCAACUCUAUCGAGUGACAUUUAACUCCGUUAUACCAUACUUUGAAUUUAUGGUCUAUCCAACCAACCUCUGAGCCCAAGUUUUCUUCCGUAGCUUGUCAAAUUCGUAGUGGUUUUACCGAUGACUUUCUCACCUACCGUAGCAACGGGAGCAAAUUUUCUAAACACUGACAGUCAGCUUUAUACCAAAUUCCUCAAAUAUUACCUUUGUUUUAGAUUUCUUGGGAGACGUGAUCUCAACAGAGACGUUCUUGUCAAUUUCCAAAAAGGUUGCACAUGAAGAAGAUUUCAUAUUCCACAAAUCGUUGUGAAUAAUGCGAUAUCCUUGGCCUUGUUGGUUAUAUCGACAUUUCGUUAGUAACUUUUCAGCAGUGGUGUUUUUCCUUGCAAGUUGACCGAGGAAAAUCAGUUUAACUGAGAUGUGGAAUAUGAUUACAGUUGUGACAACUGAGGUGUUGUCUAUUUCUUACCCUUGUUCGUACACCUUUCGAUAACAUUGAAUGAUUUGGCUGCAUACUGAUAGAAUAUGACGAAGUAUUGCUUAUGUUUCCCAACGGUUGAAACCAUAUAAAGUGAACUAACUUACUAUUGACCUAGAGUCAACAAUUACCAUCUUUCCUUGAAACUGGAUGACACUUCUCUAUGGAGAAUCUUGUCCAAAAUCUGUACCAACCUUAGACUUCUCAAAUACAUCUUCAUUUGUAAUGAGCUAAAUUUCUGACAGUAGUGAUGGACGAACUAAAUCAACGUUUACGAUUACACUAUCGUGUAUUACCCUGGUUGUGUAAACGUAAUUACUGUUCACCGUAGUAAAAGAUGUAUCUACCCUUGAACAUUUUCAACCUGUCCUAUUCCAACUCAUUUGGAAUUCAUGAGUAUUGUUAUGACGUGACUUACGAAUCCUCAAGAAAUCGUUCGAGUGGUUAUAAUCACUUACUGUAUUUGAAUAGAGAUGAGAAAUAUCACCAUAAGUUCCUAGUACGAGGUAUUUUGUACAUGUGGAUAUUAUGAUAAUGUUUCGAUGAUUAUCUAUCAACUUGACAAGUCAGCUCACCUUCUGUUGGUCGAGAAGAACUACAUUUUAGACCACUUAUCAAAAUUUCUCAUUCUUGAACUUAUUAGACUUUUUGACGUUUUGAUCAGCAUCUAAUCUAACUGUGAUUCCCUAUUCACCAUCUUGGGCUGGAAAGCAUUCCAAUCAACCUUAGGUACGUCUUACCCUACAACACUUUGUAUUAUUUCUUAAGCAAAUAGAUUGUUUAGAUGAACCGCUGACAUUGAAGUUUUAGUUAUGACCAUUAACUCCUCAAUCACCUAACAAAUACUUUACUGAACGAAUCUUUACCAUUAGUGAUUGAAUAUUCUGAAAGCUACCGUUGUAGUGAGAUAUUAUGCAUUCAAUCCAGCCAUCUUGUACUCUAGAUUCGAUGAACUUGUUUUGACCCUCAAAUUCUUGAGUGUUCAUUUAGCCUUUUCGGCGUAAUGUUUCACUAAACCCGAGUGGAAAUUCAUAAUGAAUCUACUUGCUGAGGCAUAUGUGAAUUACAGUGUUUGGUUGCAUAGUGUGCAUGACACUACUGUAUCUUAUUAUGAUGCGCAUUUCGCUUCCAAGUUUUGGGAAGCCUUCUUGAAGGCCAUGCGUAUUAAGUUUUGUCACAUACCACAUUUCACCCUCAGACUAACGGUCAGUCUGAAUGAACUAUUCAGACCUUAGAUAACAUAUUUCUUUUGUAUGUUUUAUAGUUUUAACUGGUUAUGUUAGACACCUAUCUUUGCUUAUGUUGCGUACGACGAUAGUUAUUAUUAUGGUUUGGCUAUAGUAUUGUUUAAGCUGUGAUAUAGAGAUUUUACGCACGGAACAUGUUUGACAGACGAGUAUUGCGAACAAGUAUUCGAAUGAUCAGGAUUAAGAUGUAGCAAACUAUGAGAUAUUGACGAUGUCGCCGAAGAGGGUCAUGCGUGAAUGCAAUCAAGGCGUUAAUCAGAUGAUUUAUGUGUAUUUCCCAAUGAGGGGCAAGAUGGUAAUAUUGCACCCUCAUGAAUUAUUUGCUUGGUUAUUGUGACAACACCGUAAUAUUGAUAACUUAUUUAUUGUUUGGACUUGACCCAAAGAUACUACACUUAUUCUCGGAUUACGUGACGCUACAAGUGCAUAGGUGACAUUUUUCUAUGUUCAGUUUUGAUUUCAGUACAACUAUCUUGAUUCUACGUUAUUGUGUAUAUGUAUUUUAAUUUGACGUUAUGUUUAUAUAUAUAUUACCUUAUGUUUUUAUAAAAUAUAAUAUUAUAGUAUUGUGCUGAAGGAGAAGGAAAGUAUGAGUUUGGAGCCAUAAAAUAGGAAUCAUUGCACACCUAUCGCGACAGAAUGACAUUCUCUUUUAUGCAACCGCUCUAGCUUGAAUUCUUCUUUAUAUAUUUUCCUUCUGUCUUGAGUAUUUUAUGUUUAGCAACUUAUUUCAAAUUUUGGGGACAAAAUUUUUUUUAAGGGGUGUAUAUUGUGACAACUCGUCCCUACUUUUAUGAUUUUAUUAAUUUUAAAAGCGUGAAUUGGCAAAAAUGCUCUAGCUUGAAUUCUUCUUUAUAUAUUUUCCUUAUGUCUUGAGUAUUUUAUUUUUAGCAACUUAUUUCAAAUUUUGGGGACAAAAUUUUUUUUUAAGGUGGGUAGAUUGUGACAACCCGUCCCUACUUUUAUGAUUUAAUUAAUUUUAAAAGCGUAAAUUGACGAAAAUGCCCAAGAGGCGAGAUUAUUGACUUUCGUUGAUCGUUGUUUGUGACACGUAUGAGUUAUUACUUUACCGUACCCUUGAAGUACUCGAUGGUAAAAACGCAUAGGCGCAAGCGGAAUCGAAUUUGGAGCAACGAUGAAAAUUUUAUUGAACAAUGAAUCCGAAAAAUACUUUUGUAAAAAUUACUAUUUUAUAUUUUAUAUAUUUAUUCAAAAUUUUAUAUUAUUAUAUCACUAUUUUAAUAUAUUUCUAUGGGAUAUUUUUUAUUAUUUUAUUAAUAUUUUCGGCCCAUGGGGCCCACACUCACCCAAGCUCUCAUCUCAUUUUCUGCCAUGUGUUUUGUCUCCUCCUUCUGUCCUGUAAGACUCCCCUUUUUCUCUCCCUUGGUGAAACCUAGUGACACUGGAACCACCACCACCACCACCACCUUGCCGUUGCGACUCCGGCGAGUUACUCCACUCGAUGACCCAGGUUGGCACCACCUUCGUCGUUUUCUCCCCCCUCCAUGUCGAACGAGCACCACUCAUUUUCUUCCCCAAGGCCACUGUUCACGUUUUUCUUUUCUGACGACAUUCAUAGCAAGUUCUCGCUGUUCAUGACGAAGGUAAGGUUCGAAAACCCUCAAUAUCUUUGAACACCCUCAAUAUCUUCGUAAAUCCCGUCCCUGAUUUUCACUAUUGCAAAUUACGUAUGUGUAUUAAGGAGUUAUUAUAUUAUUUUUGGAAUUUAUAUUAAUUGUAGAGUGUUGAGAUUGUGUAUUCAAAAGAUAUCAAUGUGAAAAAGCUACAAUUAAAAAGUUGCCCUUAAUUAAUUAAGGAGAGGAAAAAAAAGGGAACUUUAACGAAAAGCUCCCGGUACUGUUCAUUUUAACGAAAAACCACAUUUUUACACUAAAAAGUCAAUCCUGGUACUAUUCACUUUACCCUUUAUUUUGUCCUUAUCGUUAAAACUCAAAGUUUUCAAGCCCUUUUCAUUAGUUUUCCUAAAAAAAAAAGAAAAGGAAUUUGGGGAGAGAAAUGAAGGAGGCUUGGCCAACGGGAAGGCGGGAGAGAAAGAAGGCUGCCAAUGAGAAAAAAGGAAAGGAGGAGGAAAGAGGGGAGGGGAGGGACACCAGAUUCCCUGCCCAAUUGUCUUUUCCGACCUGAACGCGUCAUUGCUACCACUUCCGACGGGUUUUCCGUCCAUUUUUUGGCGAUCCACCAUUUUUGAAAUAAUGUUCUUCAAUUACCACCACAAAGACACUCAUCUAGAGGUCAGGAAAAAAGCCCAAGCAAGAUUGGGGGUGUUGGAGUUCGAAUUGAGGACGAAUCAAAUGACACCCAUUUCAAGGGUUCCGGCGGAUCGAGGCAAAAUUGAAGGGUUCCCCGGCAAAAUUGGACCUCGGCCCAGGUAUGAAAAUUUCUCCCCGCACUGAUAUCUACAUGCCUGUAAAGUUUGGUAAUUUUUGGAAAUAGUUGAAUUUUCGGCAAGUCGGGGCUGCCGACCGCCACCCGCGGCGGCGGCCUGCCCAGUGGGCCGACGAUGUCCUUUUAAGUUCAAAUAGAUGCCUUGAUUUCAUAAUUGAUAUCCGUAUGACGUAAUUUGAUUGUUUGGACUUAGUUUCAUUACGAUACCUCAUGUUGAUGCACAAAACCGGAGGUUUUGGGACAAUAUAAAUCCGAUCGUGAAUCUGCAAGUAAUGUAAGUAACACAAGAUGUAUCGUGGUUCACCCCAAUGUUUGGGCUACGUCCACACUGAUUAUUGAAUUUCUUUAAGAUGCUGAAGAGGGAGAAAGAGAGUUUCUCUGUGAGGAUGAGAGCUCUGAGAGGGUGAAGGUACGGCCUAAGAAAUGGCCUCCCUUCAUGAAGAGAGUGAGGGGUCCUUUUAUAGAAUAAGGGCUCCUCACUUAUUACAUAUUUGCCCUUUAUUUAUUACAUAAUUACAUUUGAGUCCCCCGAGUAUUUAUACGAGAUCUAAAAACGGAGGCCCUAAGUAUGGUAUAAACAGUAAUCCCCCAAGUCUUCAGUCAAGAUAGUCUUUUGGCUGGAGACUUGAAAUUCAGUCCAUGUGUGGACCAAAGUAACUAGACAUCGUCUAGGACUGAUACUCGAUAUGAGGCGGUGCUCAAUCUGAAAUGAUGCUCAACUAGAAGUAGCACAUGUUGCGAGGCUGCUUGGCUUGUGGCUUAUGUUGUCUUGGUUGGCUUGGCUUGUGGCAUUGAAGGUAAGGGAGUCCCUUUUAUAGAAUAAGGGCUCGCUCCUCAAUACAUGAAUGAUAGGCUAGAGUUGAUGCUCGCGGCGAGGGCAUUGCUCAGCUGGCGACGAUGCUCUCUAAUGAUGGUGAGGGAGUCUCUUUUAUAGAAUAAGGGCUCGCUCCUCAAUACAUAAGUGAUGAGUUAGGAGUGAUGUUCCCGGCGAGGCGAUUGCUCAGCUGGCGGCGAUGCUCUCUAAUAAAGGUGAGGGAGUCCCUUUUAUAAAAUAAGGGUUCGCUCCUCAGUACAUGAAUAAUGGGUGCUUUCUAAUGAAAGUGAGGGAGUCCCUUUUAUAGAAUAAGGGCUCGCUCAUCAGUACAUAAAUAAUGGGCUAAGUCCCCCAAGUAUUUUUCAUGAGGCCCAGUUGAGGCCCAAUAAAUGGUACAUAAUGUAGUCCCCCAAGUCUUCGGUCAAUAGAGUCUGUUGGUUGGACACUUCAAAUUGAAUCCAAGUAUGGGCUGAAGUGGCGGUUGUUCGGAGGCGGUAUUUGUAUACCCUGCACUGAAGCUUUGUAGGUGAAGCUUUGCAAGUGAAGCUUUGAAGCUAGAGCUCUGUAAAUGAAGCUUUUAAAGCUAGAGCUCUAUAAAUGAAGCUUUUGAAGCUAGAGCUUUGUAAAUGAAACUUCUGAAGCUAGCGCUUUUGUGAAUGAAGCUUUUGAAGCUAGAGCUCUGUAAAUGAAGCUUUUGAAGCUGAUUGACAUGAGUGAUGGUCAUGAAUGUUUAUGUUGAUUGACAUGAGUGAUGCUCAUGGAUGUUGAUGAAUGAUGGUCAUGAAUGUUUAUGUAUGAUUGACAUGAGUGAUGUUCAUGAAUGUUUAUGUAUGAUUGACAUGAGUGAUGCUUAUGUAUAAUUUUGGAGUACUGGAUGUACUUUUGAUCACCUGAUUGGUGAUAAUAGCGGCAGGCUGCCAAAUAAUUUUGGAGUACUGGGCGUACUUUAGAUCACCUGGUUGAUGAUAAUAGCGACAGGUUGCCGAAUAAUUUUGGGAGUACUGGGCGUACUUUAGAUCACCUGGUUGAUGAUAAUAGCGACAGGUUGCCGAAUAAUUUUGGGAGUACUGGGCGUACUUUUGAUCACUUGGUUGGUGAUAAUAGCGGCAGGUGCCGAAUAAAUUUGGAGCCAUAGGGCCUGGCUCUUUUGGGCAUAUGGGCAUUCGCCCUCCACAUGACAUUGCAGCCCACUAUUUUGGGCUUGCCCUUUUUUUUUAAAAUUUUUUUUAUUAUUACCCUCUGAUGGGGUUUAUAUAGAUGUCUCCGAAAGAUAAGAAAAAUAAAUUAUAUCAUUCAAAAAUAAAUCUCACCCUCUGCUCAAUGGGUUAUGCCCAUAAUUCCCUUUUCUGCAUGCCAUCACCACCGCAAUUAUGUCUGCUUCUUUUUAUCUUCUUUUGCUUUCUGCUUUUUACUUUCUGCUUUUCUUUUGCUUUCGGCCUGGUUGGUGCUAAGACCUUGUAGUGGGAUGGCAAACAGCUUGGCAUCAUUAUGUCUGAAUUCCUUUAUCAUCGUGGUGCCGAACCACUUUCCAGUUGUGUGUUUAAAGGAACCUGUUUUACCUUCACUGCUUUUUGACCAUACUUCCUCCAUCUAUACCCAAUUGAAGUAAUGAUUACUCCCCUGGAGCCGAUACUAGACCGGUUGAGUCAUUCUGGGAGGCAGCGGAAUGUUGACGUCUGCAACGUGCGGACCGAAGCCCAAAUGCGACGUCGUUUGGCCUGCCACCAGAAGAAGAAACAAACCGAGCAAAACAUUGAAACUCACCAGAGAGAUCGCCGGAGUCAGAGCUUAAGAGAGUAAACACCCAUGAUCCAUGUGAAGAGAGUGAGAGAGUGAGAGCAUGAGAGAGUAAACUCAUCCAAAUUAGAGUAAACUCACACAACUCCGGCCACAGAGUCGUACUCUUCCAUACCAACAUUUCCAUUUCCAACACUACCCUCCACGUUCUUCUUCACCCUCCCUGCAAUCACACGGCACACCAACAUUGCCCUCUUGUCACCCUCCUUCGUCGCCACCACCGCUUUAUCAUGAGCUCUGCUGCUUGUCGCAGUUGUCAAAAUACCCAGCUCCGUCAACUCCCCAGAGAACUUGUUGAAGCCGUUUUUUAUAAUGAUGCAAACAUUGCAGUGUGGGAUUAAGUUACUUGGAGAGCUUGGUGGCAAAGGUGGUGUAGUGGAAACGGAUGAGCUCGUUGCCGUCAGCGAUGCAGCGGGGGUGUUUCUUGGAGAGCUUGGUGGCUUUUACUUUGAUGGAGUCUCUAUACUCUUUGAAUUUGGUGAUGGUAUCUUGGGUGUUAUGGACUUUAAGGAUGCGGUCGAUUUUGUAGAUUGGGGUUCUUUUUUCAGCCAGCUGGACUGGAAUAUGAUCUCCACUAUGUUCUUGCUAGUAUCAUCAGGACUCCGAGCUUGUAUGGUGUCUCUACCGUCACAAGGAGAAGAUCAACCUCGCUGGUCACGAAGAGAAGAUCAGCCUCCGCUACUCAAGCUCCGACUCCAGCGAUCUCUCUUGUGAGUUUCACUGUUUUGCUCGGUUUGUUUCUUCUUCUGGUGGCGGGCCAAACGACGUCGCAUUUGGGCUUCGGUCCGUAAAUUGUAGACAUUAACAUUCUGCUGCCUCCCAGAAUGACUCAUCUGGUCUAGUAUCGGCUCCAGGGAGUAAUGAUUGCUUCAAAUGGGUAUAGAUAGAGGAAGUAUGGUAAAAAAGCAGUGAAGGUAAAACAGGUUGCUUUAAACACACAGCUGGAAAGUGGUCCGGCACCACGAUGAUAAAGGAAUUCAGACAUAAUGAUGCUAAGCUGUUUGCCAUCCCACUACAAGGUCCCAGCACCUACCAGACUGAAAGCAAAAGAAAAGCAGAAAGCAAAAGAACAUAAAAAGAAGCAGACAUAAUUGCGGUGGUGAUGGCAUGCAAAAAAGGGAAUUAUAGGCAUAACCCAUUGAGCAGAGGGUCGGAUUUAUUUUUGAAUGAUGUAAUUUAUUUUUCUUAUCUUUCGGAGACAUCUGUAUAAACCCCUUCAGAGAGUAAUAAUAAAAAAUUAAAAAAAAAACGGCAAGCCUAAAAUAGUGGGCUGCAAUGUCAUGUGGAGGGUGAAGACCCAUAUGCCCAAAAGAGCCAGGCCCUAUGGCUCCAAAUUUAUUCGGCACCCUGCCGCUAUUAUCACCAACCAAGUGAGCAAAAGUACGCCCAGUACUCCCAAAAUUAUUCGGCAACCUGCCGUUAUUAUCACUAACCAGGUGAUCAAAAGUACAUCCAAUACUCCAAAAUUAUUUGGCAGCUUACCGUUAUUAUCACUAACCAGGUGAUCAAAAGUACGUCCAGUACUCCAACAUUAUACAUGAGCAUCACUCAUGUCAAUCAUACAUAAACAUUCAUGACCAUCAUUCAUCAACAUCCAUGAGCAUCACUCAUGUCAAUCAACAUAAACAUUCAUGAGCAUCACUUAUGUCAAUCAGCUUCAAAAGCUUCCUUUACAGAGCUCUAUCUUCAAAAGCUUCAUUUACAGAGUUUUAGCUUCAAAAGCUUCAUUUACAGAGCUCUAGCUUCAAAGCUUCACUUGCAAAGCUUUCACCUACAAAGCUUCAGUGCAGGGUAUACAAAUACCGCAUCCGAACAAUCGCCACUUCGGCAUAUACAUGGAUUCUAUUUGAAGUCUCUAGCCAACAGACUUUAUUGACCGAAGACUUGGGGGACUACAUUAUGUACCAUAUAUUGGGCCUCAACUGGGCCUCAUGAAAAAUACUUGGGGGACUUAGCCCAUUAUUUAUGUACUGAGGAACGAGCCCUUAUUCUAUAAAAAGGACUCCCUCAAUUUCAUUAGAGAGCACCUAUUAUUCAUGUACUGAGGAGUGAGCCUUUAUUUUAUAAAAGAGACUCCUUCACCUUCAUUAGAGAGCAUCACCACCAGCUAAGCAACCGCCUCGCCGCGAGCAUCACUCCUAACUCAUCACUUAUGUAUUGAGGAGCGAACCCUUAUUCUAUAAAAUGGACUCCCUCACCAUCAUUAGAGAGCAUCGUCGCCAGCUGAGCAACUGCCUCGCCGCGAGCAUCAACUCUAGCCCAUCAUUUAUGUUUUGAGGAGCAAGCCCUUAUUCUAUAAAAGGGACUCCCUCACCUUCAACGCCAUAAGCCGAGCCAACCAAGGCAACAUAAGCCACAAGCCGAGCAGCCUCGCAACAUGUGCUACUUCUAGUUGAGCAUCAUUUCAGAUUAAGCACCGCCUCAUAUCGAGUAUCAGUCCUAGAUGACGUCCAGUUACUUCGCCCACACAUGGACUGAGUUUUAAGUCUCCAGCCAAAAGACUCUAUUGACUGAAUACUUGGGGGACUACUGUUUAUACCAUACUUAGGGCCUCCGUAUUUAGAUCUCGUAUAAAUACUAGGGGGACUCAAAUGUAAUUAUGUAAUAAAUGAAGGGGCAAAUAUGUAAUAAGUGAGGAGCCCUUAUUCUAUAAAAGGACCCCUCACUCUCCUCAUGAAGGGAGGCCAAAUCUUAGGCCAUACCCUCACCAUCUCAGAGCUCUCAUCCUCACAAAAAAGCUCUCUCUCUCCCUCUUCAACAUCUCGGAGAAAUACAAUAAUCAGUGUGGACGUAGCCCAAACAUUGUGGUGAACCAUGAUACAUCUUGUGUUAUUUACAUUUCUUGCAGAUUCAUGGUCGAAUUUACGUUGUCCCAAGACCUUCGGUUUUGUGCAUCAACAUAUUUGAUGGAUGAAAUAGAAACCUUGAUUAUCAUGUGGGUUGUUAUGUAGCUUGAAUUGAAUAAUUCAUGCUUGUCAAGUCCAACUGUUUGAUUGAGGAAUGUUAUGCCUUUUGGCUUGAGUGAAUAGUGUUAUAUGUCGAGUUAUAAAGACGUUGAACUACGAAUGGCUUGAUCCCUAUUGAGGGUACAUAGGCAAUCUAACGAAGAGGUUAGAUGCAGCCAUAAUGUAUACGCAAAAUUAUUAUGCAUCUAGAUCUUGAAUUAUAUUUUGUACAUAUCCAAAAAGGCGGGAUACGUUGAGUUACGAGCAUUUAGUGACGUCACGUGUCGAUCUGAGAUGUAUGUCGGGAUUGGGGCGUGACAAUUUAUCCCAGCCAUCUUUUUCCAGAUUCUGACGGUUGUAGCGGCAACCAGCUGAGAAGAAGAAAAAAAAGAAAAAAAAGGAAAAAAAAAAAAAGGAAGCCUAGAUCCGCGACCCGGAUCUAGCCCAACCUGAUUCUAAAAUGCAUAUGGAAUAUUCUUAGUGUUGACCUUUAAGAAAUUUUCUCGGAAAUCCUCCUAGGCUAAUUUCGACGUCUAGAGUCCAUUUUUGACUUCCAUUUAGGAAAAUUUUGAAGUUUUAACAUAGUUGACCACCGGGCCGUCUUUGUUGACUUUUUAAGUUUGAUCGUUCACUUUUCGUUGACUUUUUACAAAAUUUGCCUGGGACCCCUCUUAGCGUAUUUCGACGCUCUGAUUACUAUCGGAGACUCAGACUUUCUUAGCUUGAAAUGAUGUGACAUCGCAAGUACCUAUGAGUGGGUCUUUUCUUUUAUAUAGUACAUAUAUAUAUAUAUUUGUUAGUUUCCAUUUAUAUAUUUGGUAAAGAAUUUUCUACGUUACGCCUAGAUUAGGGUAACGUAUAUAAAAAUUAACGUAUUGAAGGAAUUCAUGCAAAUAUACUACGUCCUACGAGAUACACAUGUAUGCGUAUUAGUAUGGAUGCUUUAAUGGUAUUUACGGUUUUGAAUAGUAUUCCAUUGACUAGGGUUAUUGAAUUAUCGAUUUACCAUUGCAUGAUCAUAUUUGUGUUAUCUGCUCAUCGUGUGUUGCACUGGUGUUAGUACUUGCCUAGGCUAGGGCCAGUCUUUCACAUGUAUGUUCAAUUCGCACUGUACGCUCACUUUGGAUCCAUUGUAGGUGCCAGUCCUGUCCUCGAUUGCAAUAGGCAAUUAGGACUCGUAUGUGACGUGCUUAGCACCCGUUUUCAUGUGAUUGUAGUACUAGAGCGUAAAUCAUUAUUACACCCAGUCCUAUUCAUGUCAGAAUACCUUUGCAUGAACUCGUGUGUCAACAUAUGUCGAUGAGCACUCGAUGUGAUAUGUUUAUUUCUGCAAGAUAUUGUGAUUACUAGAAGUUAUGUACCUAUUUACGAAUUUUGUGACGUAUUGAAUUCUUGAGAUAUUGCAAACUACUGUAAGUAUUUUCAUACUAUACGUAGUAUGUAUAUUUUGGAAACUAUACUUGCUUUACGGUGAGGGGUUAUAAUGUUUUCAAAAAGCUUUUUAUAAAACUUUAUUUUUAAGCCCACUCAUCCUUGUUUUUCGUCCCUCCAGGAUUUAGUGGCAAUGUUCGUGUCGACGAGGAUUUCUGGCAAACGUUGAUAUCGGAGACUACUUCCGAUGGUAUAAUUCUCAAUCUACUAUACUGUACUUUACUUAUGCUCUUAUAUCACGUGUGAAAUGAGUUCAUUCACGCUCACUAGCGCACUCUUAUACUUAGGCACUUCUAGAUUUAAAUUUACUCACAUUUUUCACAUCACUACUCAUUAAUGAAAUCUUUAUUUUCCUAAAAGAUUAUUGCCUCAUAUGAGAAAGUCCCUAUAAUAUAAACCCUAAAUUUGAAGUUUACAUAAUUUUAUGUGAUAAUUUCAUUGGAAGCUAAUUCUUUUAGUUAAUUUAACUUGAUUUUAUUGUAAAAUAUUUUUUGUGUAAUAUUAUUACCCAAAAAGGUUCAAAAUUCUCAAAGCCAAAUUUUAUUCCAAUGGAGUUUUAAUGAAAAGUCCGCGGUACUGUUCACUUUAACGAAAAACCACAUUUUUACACUAAAAAUUCAAACUUAGUACUAUUCAUUUUACCUUUUAUUUUGUCCUUAUCAUUAAAACUCAAAGUUUUCGAGCCAUUUUCAUUAGUUUUCCUUUUAUUUGGGAGUUUUAACGAAAAGUCCGCGGACCCGGCUUUGCAACCCGGACCCAGCUUCUCUGCUCUCCCAGUUUCCAUACACUCUCAUCCCCUCCUAUUUUGUGCGAUCACGAUUAAGCACGUUAACAUUUUAUAUUGAUUUUUUUAUAGACAUAAUAAGACAAAAAACGAUAGUGAUAUAAAAUAUUGACGUGACUUAACAUUUGACAAAAAUUGAAGAUAAUUUUGUUUUUUUGACUAAAUGAUCAAAAUAAUUGGUGGCGAAUAAAAUCAGAAAUCUCACUUUGAAGAAACGAAACUUCCGACGUGGUGGGCUGCGACUUUUGACUGAUUGAGAGUCCUCCAUCCGCAGCUCCUCCGUCUUCCUCCCAAGCCUUUUACCUUUUCUUUCUUUCUUCUCCAAAACUAGCAAUCUGAGAUUUGAACCUCUCUCUCUAAGAAGCAGCGGCAUGCUUUUCCAAACGUAAUCUGCAAUUUAAUCAAACAGCCACCGAAUUUUCUGGAAUCCUGUCAACGCAGAGAUGCUUCGGAUUUUGAUCGGUCAACGCCAGCUGCUUACCUGAGCUCCAAAAGAUCCAACAGUGAUGACGUCCUCCACCUCUGUUUCUGUUUGGCUGAUUCUGCUGUUUGGCUUCUUUCACCUCUACAAGCUUGCUGCCAAUGUCGUCUCUGUGUGUUAUUGAAUUUGGGAGUGUUUGGUUGUGGGAACCGGAAUGAACUAAUGAAUGAAUGAAUGAAUGACUGAAUGACUGGAAACAUUCCCGAAGAGCUUGGGGGUUUGUCAGACUUGGUGAGCUCGGAUCUUUACUUGGCAACCUUGCAAAACUGCGUUUCCUAUAUGAACCCGCAUCCUUUUGUUAGAUAAAAUCUAUCGUCUUUCUUUUUUAUUCGAUAUGCUAAUCUGCUGUUUUUAAUUGUUCCAUUGGAGUGACUUUCUUCCUUAAAGUCCUUGUGCCGGAUGCAUAUAAUUUAUAGUAUGAUCCCUGGUUUCAAGAUUCACAAGAAGGGAACAUCCAGUCAUUGCAAGUCCUGUGAAUUUCAUACACUUUCAUCUCAGUAAGAGGGAGGAGAGAGUGAAAAGUUACUAAUUUCUCUACCAUCGGAGAAUGCAAAUAACAUAUAGUUUUGCCAUGGAAUGCAGGGAUCUUUCAAAUAACAAUCUGACAGGGAAUAUUCCAGUUAAUGGAUUCUUUUCACUUUUUACUCCCAUCAGGUUUGUUGAAGCAACUUUACUCUUUUUCUUUAACUUUAGGGACAAAAAUAACAAUCUGACAGGGGAUACACUUUCAUCUCAGUAAGAGGGAGGAGAGGGUAAUAUAGCUUGAUCAAGUUGGUGUUGUAGUUGUUGUAUGGGAUGCAGCUCAAAAACUUUUCUUUGCGCGACCUACAAGUUGCAACGGAUACCUAUAGCGACAAAAAUAUUAUUGGUAGAGGUGGAUUUGGUAAGGUUUAUAGAGGACGCUUAGCUGAUGGAACUCUGGUUGCUGUAAAAAGACUUACACAGGAGAGAACCCAAGACGGGGAACUACAGUUCCAAACAGAAGUUGAAAUGAUUAGAAUGGCUGUCCACCACCGCAAUCUGCUUUGUCUGCAUGGUUUUUGCAUGACACCAACAGAAAGGCUGCUUGUAUAUCCUUAUAUGGCUAAUGGAAGUGUGGCAUCUUGUUUAAGAGGUACUCAUCUAAAUUGUUUGCUGCGUUGAUGAAUCUUUUUGUUUUCACGACGUUAAAUUUUUUUUCGAUCACAUUGAUAUAAUGAAUUUAAAAACCUGACCAAUUUGGCUUGGAGUAUCAGCACUAAUUUUUUUAAUGUUUUUUUUCCUUCAAUUUUAAGUUACCUUCUCGAUGCUGAUUUUAUUUCUGUUUAAUUUGAAAAGGAUGACAAGAAGACCCUUUUUUUGGGUAGGACGGGUGGUAUGAUAUGUGUUAGACCACAUUACCUAUUGCUUGUAAUUUGAAAUUCUCCUCUCAUAAGUAUGUGGAUAUAUUAUUGUAGGUCGUCCGGAAGGACAACCUGCACUUGAUUGGCCAAUAAGACAACGCAUUGCAUUGGGAUCUGCAAGAGGCCUUGCUUAUUUACAUGAUCACUGUGAUCCAAAAAUUAUUCACCGUGAUGUGAAAGCAGCAAACAUAUUGUUGGAUGAGGAAUUCGAAGCAGUUGUUGGAGACUUUGGGUUGGCUAAACUCAUGGACUACAAGGAUACAUAUGUUACCACACAUGUAUGUAGCACAUUUGGUCAUAUGGCACCGGAGCACUUUUCAACUGGAGUGUCUUCCGAGAAAACUGAUGUUUUUGGAUACGGAGUCAUGCUUCUUGAACUCAUCACUGGGCAGAGGGCUUUCAAUCCUCAGCUUGCGAGUGAUGAUGAUGUCAUGUUAGUUGAUUGGGUAUGCAUUUACGUCUUUCUGUUUGUGUAUGUAGCUAGUUUAUUGUUAUAUGAUUAUUUCCCAACAACAUUUGCAUUUCCUUAGUAAUUAGCUUUUAGAAAAUAAGUUUGGUUUAAUUAGCUUUUAUUAGUUAGAGUUAUGAUUAGCUGUGUAGAUUUUUUUAUCUUUAUUUAUAACAAUCCAAGGUUUAAACUGUCAGAGAUUAAUUAUUGCAUUUCCUUAGUAAUUGUUACUAUUGUUGUUGCUUCUUUUGCCAAUGUAUUGGCAUUUUGUGAUUUCUUGAAGAAUUUGGCAUAUGUUUUGUGUCGAUCCUAAUUUCCUCAUCAUCUCCUUAUUCUUGCUAUCUUGGCCUCUCGCUUUUUCCUAUUCUCUCUAUUGCAUCUUUGUCUUCUCUUUGCAUGAUAUCAAUAUUUGAAUGACGAUACAUUUUUGUAAGCAGUUUGAUUUUCUGUAGAAAAAAGUUUGAACAUUACAACACAUUUUUGUUCUCCUAGAUUCCCGCACCUUUUGUUUCAAAUUGUCGAACCACCCGACAAUUUCUGUUUUAUUUUUCCUAAAAAAAUUAGGUCAAAUGACUACUGAAAGAUCGGAGGUUGGAAAGACUUGUUGAUGCUGAUCUAAAUGGAAAUUAUAUUGACGAUCAAGUGGAGCAGCUGAUCCAAGUAGCUCUACUGUGCACACAAGGCUCCCCAGGGGAACGGCCCAAGAUGUCAGAGGUUGUCCAAAUGCUUGAAGGCGAAGGCGAAGGUUUGGCUGAAAGAUGGGAGGAGUGGCAAAACAAGGAGAUGAUCCGCCAAGAUUUCAACACUAUUCAUCAUCCAAGUACUUGGAUCAUAGACUCACCUUCUCCUAAUUUUGUGUUGUACUAUUUCUGUGAGUUUGAAGAAAUGGAUAAAAAGAAAGGAAAACCAAUGAAAAAGGCUUGAAAACUUUGAGUUUUAAUGAUAAGGACAAAAUAAAGGGUAAAGUGAAUAGUACCAGGAUUGACUUUUUAGUGUAAAAAUGUGGUUUUUCAUUAAAGUGAACAGUACCGGAUGCUUUUCGUUAAAGUUCCCUAAAAAGAAUGACAUGUGAUAGAGAGUUCAUCAUAUAGCUUCUGACUUUAAGGAUUUUUCAUUUAGUUCUAGUUCAUGUUGCGCAAAAAAUAUUAGGUAACACUGCUACUGGGGCUAUUGCAGGAGGGGUUGCUGUUGGUGCUGCUUUACCGUUUGCUGCACCUGCAAUUACACUUGCUUAUUGGCGACGGAGAAAACCACAGGAUCAUUUCUUUGAUGUACCUGGUUAGUGAACUAUAGGAGUAAUAUAGCUUGAUAAAGGUGGUGUUGUAGUAUGGGAUGGAGGUUUCACUAAUCUACUGUCUUUGCAGCUGAGGAGGAUCCAGAAGUUCUUUUAGGACAGCUCAAAAGGUUUUCUUUGCGCGAACUACAAGUUGCAACGGAUACCUUUAGUAACAAAAAUAUUCUUGGUAGAGGUGGAUUUGGUAAGGUUUAUAAAGGACGCUUAGCUGAUGGAACUCUGGUUGCUGUAAAAAGACUUAAAGAGGAGAGAACCCAACGUGGGGAGCUACAGUUUCAAACAGAGGUUGAAAUGAUUAGCAUGGCUGUCCACCGCAAUCUGCUUCGUCUGCGUGGUUUUUGCAUUACACGAACAGAAAGGCUGCUUGUAUAUCCUUAUAUGGCUAAUGGAAGUUUGGCAUCAUGUUUACGAGGUACUCUUCUAAAUUGUUUGCUGCGUUGAUAAAUCUUCUUGUUUUCACGAAAUUAAAAAAUGGGUAAAUUACAUUUUACACCCUCAGGUUUGAGUGUAAUUGUAACCUCAUACAAUAUUUUUAAAACAUUUCAAUUUUAUACAUUUCCUUAUCAUUUCUAGCAAUUUCAUACAUCUGUUAGUCAAACCGUGAGUUUGACUGUUAAGGAAUGACAUGGCAAAUGUGAGGUCCACAUUUUUAUUGACGGGGAUGCCAACUAUGAUUCACGUGGAAUAAAAACAAAUAAAAAAGAUUAAUAAAUAGAAAAUUAAAUUUUUUUAUAAUUAAAAACUAAAAAAAUAGAAAAGAUAAAAAAAAUGGUGUUGUUCAUCCCUUUCCUGCUCUCACCCCGUCCCCGCAUUCUUCAUUUCCCCCCGCCCACCAUCGCCACCUUCCCUUUCCUCAGCCACUGCAAUGAAUAGACCACAUUACCUGUUGCUUGUAAUUUGAAAUUCUCCUCUCAUAAGUAUGUGGAUAUAUUAUUGUAGAUCGUCCAGAAGGACAACCUGCACUUGAUUGGCGAAUAAGACAACGCAUUGCAUUGGAAUCUGCAAGAGGCCUUGCUUAUUUACAUGAUCACUGUGAUCCAAAAAUUAUUCACCGUGAUGUGAAAGCAGCAAACAUAUUGUUGGAUGAGGAAUUCAAAGCAGUUGUUGGAGACUUUGGGUUGGCUAUACUCAUGGACUACAGGGAUACACAUGUUACCACAGCUGUACGUGGCACAAUUGGUCAUAUAGCACCAGAGUACCUUUCAACUGGAAAAUGUUCCGAGAAAACUGAUGCUUUUGCAUACGGAGUCAUGCUUCUUGAACUCAUCACUGGGCAGAGGGCUUUUGAUCUUGCUCGGCUUGCGAAUGAUUAUGAUGUCAUGUUACUUGAUUGGGUAUGCUUUUACGUCUUUCUGUUUCUGUUUGUUGCUAAUUUAUUGUUAUAUGCAAGAUUAUUUUCCAACAAUAUUUGAAUGAGGUCCACCUUUGAGAGUUUUAACGAAAAGUCCACGGUACUGUUCACUUUAACGAAAAAUCAUAUUUUUACAUUAAAAAGUUAAUCCUGAUACUAUUCACUUUACUCUUUAUUUUGUCUUUAUCGUUAAAACUCAAAGUUUUGAAGCCUUUUUCAUUAGUUUUCCUUAAUAUCUUUCAUAUUUUAUAAAAUAAAAAAAAAGACAUAAUGUUGUUGAAAUUCAACGAUAUUCUUGCUUCGAUCUAUUGUUUCCCUAAGUCCAAAUCUUGGAAAUUAUGUUUCAAUACUCAUUUUAAAGAAAUGUUAUAUAAUAUACUGUAAAUUAGGUGUAUCUCUCGAUACCAAUGUUGCUAUUUAUUUAAGCCAAAAAUAAUGGGUCUCGACACCUAAUCACUUUAUUUCAAACCGCUAAUCUCAUAUGACAUUCUUAAUCAUUGUAUAUGGAACAUUUCUGCAAUCAUUUUAGUUGGUUCUUUGCAAUACUUUAAAAACCUAUUACUCAUCAUAGAGCUGCCAAGUUCCUGUCUAAUUAAUGUAAAAAUCACUUAGUCUUUUUUGGCCCGAAUAUUGAAAACAAUUAGAAUCAUGGAUCAAAGAAAAGAAAUAAUACUUAACUUUUAGAAAAUAACUUUAGUUUAAUUAGCUUUUAUUAGUUAGACUUACGAUUAAGCUGUGAAGAUUUAUUUAUCUUUAUUUACAACAAUCUAAGAUUUAAAUUGUCAGAGAUUAAUUAUUACAUUUCCUUGGUAAUUGUUGUUAGUAUUGUUGUUGCUUCUUUUGCCAAUGUAUUGGCCUUGCUGUGAUUUCUUGAAGAAUUUGGCAUGUGUUUUGUAUCGAUCCUAAUUUCCUCAUUAUCUCUUUAUUCUCGCUAUCUUGGCUCUUUCUUCUUUUUAUUCUCUGUUUGCAUCUUUGUCAUAUGUUCGCAUCACAUCAAUAUUUGAAUGACGAUGCAUUUUUGUAAGCAAUUUGAUUUUCUGGAGAUACUGCGGCCCUUCAAAUUUUGAACAUUACAACACAUUUUCACUCUCCUAGGUGCCCUCACCUUUUGUUUCAAAUUGUAGAACUAUCUGAUUUUGUUCCUUUUUAUUUUAACUAAAAUAAUUAGGUCAAAGGACUACUGAAAGAUCGGAGGUUGGAAACACUUGUUGAUGCUGAUCUAAAUGGAAAUUAUGUUUACGAUCAAGUGGAGCAGCUCAUCCAAGUAGCUCUACUAUGCACACAAGGCACCCCAGGGGAACGACCCAAGAUGUUAGAGGUUGUCUGGAUGAUGGAAGGGCGAUGGUUUGGCUGGGAGGAGUGGCAAAAAGAGGAGGUGUUCCACCAAGAUUUCAACCCUAUUCAUCAUCCAAGUACUAAUUGGAUCACAGACUCAACUUCUCAUAUUCCUCUGGAUGAGUUGUCUGGUCCCAGAUGAUAUGCUCGUUGGUUCUGUCCCCUGUAUACAUGUAAGAAGCCUCAGAGGACUGUAGAAGGUCCAUUUUGUAUUUCAGUGAUACAACAUUUGUGCAUAUGUUUUGUCUUUGUUUUCGAUUUUGUUUUUGUCUCUCGUAUUUUUUAGAUCACAAAAAUGGAGCUGGUGCUGUUGUAAUUUUUAUAGGGUUAACUGGCAUUACGAAGUUAUAUGGUGCUAGCAGGAAUUAGGAAGGGCCAUAAAAGCACCCAUUCCUGAUGAUUUAUGUAUCUAUCCAGAAAUUAGUUCAGAUUGUCGAGUAAAUAAUCAUUCUGAAGUUAUAACUAUAUAUAUUUUUUAGUGUUCCAAUAGAUCCUAUAGAUACGAUAAGGACACUAGGUCAAGUGCGUUCCUAUAGAUCCUUUAGAUACGAUAAGGACACUAGGUCAAGUGCACGGCUGCUUGUGGACGGAUAGUGUUUGAAAUUUCAUCGUGAUCAUUGCAAGUGUGACUUUGUGGCACUACCCUUAUAAGUACUUGAACUAAGGCAUUAGGGAUCAAGAGAUCACUUUGUGUCAUUCCAAAACAGGAAUUUGAGCUCUGUCUAUCCUCUUUAAAGUAUCGUCAAUGGGGAUCCCUCUACUAUCUUUGAGGAUUUAUUUAAGACCAACUGUAGGGUAAGACCCAAACCUAAAUUUCUAAGUUUAAACAAAAUAAAAAUGCAAUCUAAUUGUGGGAUUUUUUUGUUUUUUUUGAACAAAAUAUAUUAUCUAGAUUAGGUUAAGCUUUACAGUGGGCUAGUAAUAAUAUGGUUCAAAUUUGUCUUUGGCGAAAAUCGAACCUAAAGACCUCUAUUAUAUGUGAAGAGAAAUAUCAGUAAACUGUAGUACUAGAUAGUAUCUAAUGGUUGGACUUAAAGCUAAAAAGUUUGGCUUUUACCCAAGCUAAACCCAAAUUUGGGUUUUGUAUUUGGCAGACCCAAAUUUUUGGGGGCCCUACCUUUUUUUUUCUGAAAAGCAACGGGCGAAUGAUGUAUUGAAGUGGCCGACAGAUGGGUCCCUCACCUAGCAGAGUCCCAGCUGCAAAACAGUAACAGUUUAAGCAACUACGAGCCAUUCGAUUUGUGGGCCAUUGGUGAUCAACGGUCUAGGUUAAAAUCCUUUCAUGCUUUGCAAUCUUUAAAUUUUGAUCUAAUUGUUCAUAUAUAUAUUUUUUCAAAUCUAACGGUAAAAUAAAUCCAACUACUGAAAUUUAAAUUCAACGUCAAAAAUUAUUUUAUUUAGAACAUAUCCAUUAUACAUUUGGAUGGUUGGUGUGGUUUGUUCGGUUUUGAAUUUUUUGUUGAAAUUUAAUUUUUUUAAUGUCAAAACACUUGUCAAAUUAAAUUAAAAUAAUAUAAUUCAAAAGUAAAAAAUUUAAAAAAAAAUCCUACCGAAAAAAAAUUAGGGUUAAAACUAUAUUCCACCACAAUUAGUACAUUUUAGGCCAUGAAAUUUAGAUCUUGAUGGUUGGGUGAUAUUCACUUCAUAGACUUAAAUUCUGUCUUUUGAUGGACUAAAUAUUUGGGUUUGGGUGUAAAGGUUGGAGCUGGUCUAAGGACUUUAAUGAAAUCUUAUAUUUCUAAACGAGUUGCCUCAUAUGAGAAAGUCCUUAUAGUAUAAAUCUUAAAUUUGAAGUUUACAUAAUUUUAUGUGAUACUUUCAUUGGAAGCUAAUUCUUUUAGUUAAUUUAACUUGAUUUUAUUGUAAAAUAUUUUUUUGUGAACAUUAUUACCCAAAAAAGUUCAAAAUUCUCGAAGCCAAAUUUUAUUCUUUAGAACUACAAUAGCUUUCAUUAUUGGCUAUGUCAUGGUCUAUUAUUUCUGAUCAGAAUCAGACCUGGACUCUUUGCAACGCUUGGUCAACUAAAUGAAUUAUUAAUUAAAAGUAGCUUGAUAAUCAUUUUGUUUUCAAUUUUUAAUUUUUAGCUUAUACUUUUCUAUUAUGAAAUUAAUCAAAAUGGUUCAUGAAAUUGGCAUAAUUAAUCAUUUCGGUUCCUGAGAUUUGAAAUUGCUAGAAGUGAUCCCUGAGUUUGUUAACUAUCAAUUAUUUUGAUCAUUCGAUUAAAAAUCUCUAUUGAAUAAGAAGCAUGUUUAUACCAUAUUUAGGGCCUCGUAUUUAGACCUCGUAUAAAUACUCGGGGGACUUAAAUGUAAUUAUGUGAUAAAGGAAGGGGCAAAUAUGUAAUAAGUGAGGAGUCCUUAUUCUAUAAAAGGACCCCUCACCCUCACAAUUAGAAAAAGGCCUCACUCUCACUCUCGAAAAAGCCAAAUUCUUAGGCCCUCUCACCCUCUCUCAACGCUCUCACUCUCAGAGCUCUCUCUCCUUCAAAUAAAUACAAUCAGUGUGGACGUAGCACAAACCUUGGGGUGAACCACGAUACAUCUUGUGUUAUUUACAUUUCAUGCAGAUUCACGGUCGGAUUUACGUUGUUCCAAGACCUCCGGUUUUGUGCAUCAACAUUUGGCGCCGUCUGUGGGAAACGACACGAAAAGUUAUGUCGGUUCUCUCUCAAUUUUUCAUCUCCGCCGUGAAUCUGCAGAAAUCCAAGAACCCAAAAACCUCACUUUUUGGGUUUCUCCAGAAAACUUUCGCAGACCUCCAACCACCUCUGCCUCCUCUCUCAGUCAGUCAACACGGAAACCAAAGAUUUCAGCUGCAAAUUCACCUGCUUUUGCAGCCCAUCCACGCCACCAUGUCCUCAUAUUUCCACCGAGUUCCAAAGUGCUCACCAGAAAAAAUGAUGGCUUCCAUGUCUUUCUCUACAACUUUUUCAACACCUUUACAGAUUUUUCUCAAGCAAAAACAAAAAUAAGCACGAAUUCUUUAGCUUUAUGCCCUCCCAUGGCGUGUUGGAUCAAAUCCUCACUUGGGUCUCCUAAUCGGCAUUUUUUCGAAAUGGGUGGUCUUUCCAAUCGGAGAAUUUUAAUGGGUUUCUGAUCAAAUCUUGGUCUUUGGUUGUCUAUGCUAAAGCAGCUACAACAACAUCUCUAUAUAUCUCUCAUGUCCCUCAUCUCUAUCUUGUCCCUCAUCGCUCAGCCUGACACAUCAAUCAACACACCCAACUGAAAGAGGGAUAGUUUCGUGAUUACCCUGAUUCCGCCAUGGGCAUUCCCUGCGACGACAUCGUCGUUAUCAAGCCGAGGAAGGCUCCUGAUGAGCCAUCCGUCCUCACCGUCAACUGUCCCAACAAGGCCGGCCUUAGCUGCGAUUAGGAGAGGUUAAAGGAUCAGCUCUCGUCCGCGUGCCCGUCGUCGUGCUUCUUCUCAUUUUAUCUCAAUCAAAUCUCCAACGUCCCAACGCCUUCUUCGGUCUAUCUGUUGAAGUUUUGGUGCCACGACCAGAGAGGCUCACUCCACGAUGUUUGAGCCAUUGUGCGAUUUGGGCAAGAAUUUAUGGGAUCUCGCGGUGGCCCAGAUGGUUUAUGAUGAUGUUGUUGGGGUUGGAGUGGUCGAGGAGAUCAAAAAUCAAUGGCUUUUCUCAGUUUUCAGCAUCUGUCAAUUUGGCGGAGGAACGAAAGAUGCCAAAAUUAACUGCUGAGAGUACCUGGGAUUUUGAGAUGUGAUUCAUUAUUGUAUCUGAUAAACAACUUAGAAUUGUCUCUGCCACGUGUUCCACACCGAGUGCAUUGACAGGGGGCUGGAGUAUAAUGAUCAUCAUCAUCACCAUCACGACGAGGACAAUCACAAAACUUGCCCGCUCUGCAGGACUCCAUUAUUGAUGUCAUUGUAGAAGCGGAGCCUGAGUUGGGACCUUGCAGGCUUAAAAGGGACGGUCAAAUAAGAGGCUUAUUUCACUGAACAAAGUUAAACAGCAUGAAAAAGGAGAUUCAAUGUGCGGAGAUCCAGUAUGGAACUGGUGCAAUUUCAGGUUUCUUCCACCAGGACCAUGUCCAAGUCGGUGAUCUUGUUGUUAAGGAUCAGGACUUUAUUGAGGCAACCAAAGAGCCUGGAGUCACGUUUGUGGCAGCUAAGUUUGAUGGUAUUCUUGGACUUGGAUUUCAACAUAUCUCAGUUGGAGAUGCUGUUCCUGUCUGGUAUAAUUUGGUCAAUCAAGGUCUUGUUAAAUAACCAGUUUUCUCAUUUUGGUUAAAUCGCAAUACAGAAGGGGAAGAAUGGGGUGAGAUUGUCUUUGGUGGGGUUGAUUCUAGUCAUUUCAAGGGUGAGCAUACAUAUGUUCCCGUGACUCAGAAAGGCUACUGGCAGUUUGAUAUGGGUGAUGUCUUAAUUGAUGGUGAAUCAUCUGGAUUUUGUGCUAAUGGCUAUUCAGCAAUUGCUGACUCAUGCACCUCCCUAUUGGCUGGACCAACGGAAGUAUGGAGAGGUGGUGGAGGCUGUGAUCAUGAGGGAUCGUGCAAAAGGGGAGAUAAGAUUAAUGUACUUAUCAUUCCUUGUCUGCCAUCUACAAAAGAGAAAAGAAGACAGAAACAAAAGCAAAAGUAAAGCAGAAAAGGAAAAGAGAAAAGAAGAAGAGAGGAACAUGGAGACAUUUCAAAAGCAAGGAAUAAACACCCCACCAGAAUGAUGUAUUUUUUUUAUCUUUCGGAAAUAUCUGUAUAAACCCCAUCAGAGGGUAACUAAAAAAAAAUAGCAAAGCCCAAAACAAAUGGGCUGCCAUGUUGUGGAGGGCGAAGGCUCAUAAGCCCGAAAUAGCACCAACCAGGUGAUCAAAAGUACGCCUAGUACUCCACAAUUAUUCGGCAACCCACCGCUAUUACCACCAACCAGGUGAUCAAAAGUACGCCCAGUACUCCAAAAUUAUUCGGCAACCUGCCGCUAUUACCACCAACCAGGUGAUCAAAAGUAUGCCCAGUACUCUAAAAUUAUUCGGUAACCCGCCGCUAUUACCACCAACCAGGUGAUGAAGUGUACAACCCGUACUCUAAAUAUCAUUUGGCAACUAGCCAUUCAUGCCACCAACCAGGUGAUGAAAUGUAAACCCGUACUCUAAUAUCAUUUGGCAACUAGCCAUUCAUGCCACCAACCAGGUGAUGAAAUGUACAACCCGUACUCUCCUUCAUGCCACCAACUAGGUAAACAAAAGUACGCCCAAUACUUCAAAUUAUACAUGAGCAUUACUCAUGUCAAUCAUACAUAAACAUUCAUGAGCAUCACUCAUAUCAAUCAUACAUAAACAUUCAUGAGCAUCACUCAUGUCAACAUUCAUAAGCAUCACUCAUGUCAACAUCCAUGAGCAUCACUCAUGUCAAUCAAACAUUCAUGAGCAUCACUCAUGUCAAUUAAACACUCAUGAGCAUCACUCAUGUCAAUCAGCUUCAAAAGCUUCAUUUACAAAAGCUCUAGCUUCAAAAGCUUCAUUUACAGAGCUCCAGCUUCAAAGCUUCACUUGCAAAGCUUCAUUUACAAAGCUUCAGUGCAGGAUAUACAAAUACCACCUCCGAACAACCGCCACUUCGGCCCAUACAUGGAUUCAAUUUGAAGUCUCUAGCUAACAGACUCUAUUGACUGAAGACUUGAGGGACUACACUAUACACCAUAUAUUGGGCCUCAACUAGGCCUCAUGAAAAAUACUUGGGGGACUCUAGCCCAUUAUUUAUGUAUUGAGGAGCGAGCCCUUAUUUUAUAAAAGGGAUUCCCUCACCAUCAUUAGAGCAGCAUCAACUAUAGCCCAUUAUUCAUGUAUUGAGGAGCGAGCCCUUAUUUUAUAAAAGGGACUCCUUCACCAUCAUUAGAGAGCAACGCCGCCAGCUGAGCAACCGUCUCGCCGCGAGCAUCAACUCUAGCCCAUCAUUUAUGUAUCGAGGGAACGAGCCCUUAUUCUAUAAAAGGGACUCCUCACCAUCAUUAGAGAGCAUCAACUCUAGCCUAUCAUUCAUGUAUUAAGGAGCGAGCCCUUAUUCUAUAAAAGGGACUCCCUUAUCUUCAAACGCCGCAAGCCGAGCCAACCAAGGCGCCAUAAGCCACGAGCUGAGCAGCAUCGCAGCAUGUGCUACUUCUAAUUGAGCGUCAUUUCAGAUUGAGCACCGCCUCAUAUCAAACAUCAGUUCAAGAUAACAUCUAGUUACUUCGGCCCACACAUGGACUGAAUUUCAAGUCUCCAGCCAAAAGACUCUCUUGACUGAAGACUUAGGGGACUACUGUUUAUACCAUAUUUAGGGCCUCGUAUUUAGACCUCGUAUAAAUACUCGGGGGACUUAAAUGUAAUUAUGUGAUAAAGGAAUGGACAAAUAUGUAAUAAGUGAGGAGUCCUUAUUCUAUAAAAGGACCCCUCACCCUCACAAUUAGAAAAAGGCCUCACUCUCACUCUCAAAAAAGCCAAAUUCUUAGGCCCUCUCACCCUCUCUCAACGCUCUCACUCUCAGAGCUCUCUCUCCUUCAAAUAAAUACAAUCAGUGUGGACGUAGCCCAAACCUUGGGGUGAACCACGAUACAUCUUGUGUUAUUUACAUUUCAUGCAGAUUCACGGUCGGAUUUACGUUGUUCCAAAACCUCCGGUUUUGUGCAUCAACAAAGCAAAUGACAAAAAUAACCUCAAUUCAAUAAAUAAUGGACCGUAAUAAUUUGACAAAAAUUGAAGAUAAUUUUUUUUUUUUUUUACGAAAUGAUCAUGUUGAAUAAAAUCAGAAAUCUCAAAACAAAGUGAGGAAUUGCAUAACAAUUUCAGAUAUCAGCUAAAAAGUAAAAAAUAAAUAUAAACAAAAGAAGAAACGAAACUUCCGACGCUGUGGGCUGCGACUUUGACUGAUUGAGAGUCCUCCAUCCGCAGCUCCUUCGUCUUCCUCCCAAACCUUUUACCUUUCUUCUUUCUUCUCCAAAACUAGCAAGCUGAGAUUUCAACCUCUCUCUCUCUAAGAAGCAGCGGCAUGCUUUUCCAAACUCAAUCUGCAAUUUAAUCAAACAGCCACCGAAUUUUCUCUAAUCCGGUCAACGCAGAGAUGCUUCGGAUUUUGAUCGGUCAACGCCAGCUGCUCACCUGAGCACCAACGGGCCCAACAGUGAUGACGUCCUCCGCCCCUGUUUCUGUUUGGCUGAUUCUGCUGUUUGGAACCUCCAUAAGCUCGCUGCCAACAUAGAAGGUAUGUCUGUGUCUCUGUGUUUUUGAAUUUGGGUGUGUUUGGUUGCGGGAAUUGGAAUGAACUAACGAAUGAAUGAAUGAAUGAUUGGAUUUGACAGGUGACGCAUUGAACGCGUUGAAGACCAAUCUAGCUGAUCCAAACAAUGUUCUGCAGAGUUGGGAUCCGGCUCUCUACAAUCCCUGCACCUGGCUUCAUGUCACUUGUAAUAGCAAAAACAGGGUUACUGUGGUGUAAGCAAACCCAACAAACACCUCCUUUUCAAUUCAGUUCAAUUCAAUUCGAUUCGAUUCAGUUCAGUUCAAUUCACUUGUAACAGCGGAAAUAGCAUUACGGGAAGUUUUUAACAUUUUUGCUCCACCCAGUGAUCUUGCCAAUGCCAAUCUCUCUGGUCAUCUGGUGGCACAGCUUGGUGUGCUUUCCAAGUUGCAGUACUUGUAAGCAUGUUUUUCGCUCUGAUUUUUUGUUCGGGUCUUAUCCAACUGUUCCAUCACUAUGCAUUCGAAUUGAAAUUGGUAUUGAUACAUGACUGAUGAAUUUCACAACUGCAUUUGACAUUAUUGAAACACACUUUCUUGACAGGGAACUUUCCAAUAAUAGCAUAACUGGAAACAUUCCCGAAGAGAUUGGGGGUUUGUCAGACUUGGUGAGCUUGGAUCUUUACUUGGCAACCUUGCAAAACUGCGUUUCCUGUAUGAACCCCCAUCCCUUUGUUAGAUAAAAUCUAUCGUCUUUCUUUUUUUAUUUGAUAUGCUAAUUAUGCUGUUCGGCUCAACCCAAUAUUGUGGUCAAGGCAUGUAGCUUGAGUUUUGACUUUUUCUAGGAGUGGGUCCUGAACAGUAAGGGGCCUUAACAUCGGAAUAUUUACAUAAAUAUACUAGCGAUAGAACCCGCGCGAUGUCGCGAGUUUUAAAACUUUGUUAAACGUAUGCAAAUAUAUUAAAAUCUAAUUAUAUCCAUAUCAAAGAAAUAUCUAUUUACAUCCUCAUAUUCAAUAAGGGAAAAAGAUAUAUAUAUAAAUGUAGGAUAUAUCACAUAUUAAAAUUUGUCUACAUCCAUACCAAAGUCUAUUUGCAUCCUUACGUGUAAUAAUGAACAAAAGAUAGGUAUUUGAAGAAUACAUUACAUAGAAAAAGUUGUGGAUUAAGUUGUUCAUACAAAUACAAUCAUAUAAAAAUAUAUUCAUUUUCCUUGUCCCAACUUUUCUACAUUCAGUACUUCACUCUUCUUUCUUCUUUGUUUUUCUGUAGAUGAGGAUGUACAUUUUUCCUCAAGUAAUCUGUUCAAGAUAAAUUCAUUGGUUAGGCUUCUGAAUCAUAUGAGCCUUUAAUUGGCUUAUAAAAAUGCUCAUUUUUCAUAUGAGAAGGACAACCAGUUUAGAGUUUCGAAAGAUAAAUAAAAAUUCCAAUUCUCACCAAGAAAAAAAGCCGAAGAAAUACAAUGGGUUUAGAUGAGAGACGAAGUCUUUACCAACUAACAAAUGAAGUAAAUCAUGUUGUUCAAUACUUGAGCUUCCAAUUUAGUACACUUACAUCUUCAAUCUCCAACAAAACAAAACAAAAAAAUUGAAAAAUCAUUUAGUAUAAUUGUCACAACAUGUUGAAGAUGCAUGUACCCAACCAAUUGCUUCACCGUUCACCUAUAUCCUCGGUGCUAUAAAUUCGAAUAAAAAACCAGUAAAUAAAAGUGGUUAAGCAAAAACCCUCACUUCUCAUUACAUGUUGAAAUUUCUUUAAGCUCUAAACCUACUCCCAUUGUGUUACUUUUGUAGUGCAUGUUGUGCCUUGGUCGUUCGUCAGUGCAGAAGUGAGAUUCAGAUUGUCUCACCAAACUACAGACCCACAGUUGAACAGUUUAAAUUACAAGAAAUAAAUACACUGAGAAAUUUACGAGGUUCGGCAAAAAUCUGCCUACGUCCUCCAAGAGAUAUUGCUCUUCACUAUGAGAAUAACUAGUACAAGAUACACUUGAGUUAAAUUAACAUAACCCAAACCCCAAUCCUUUGUACCCUCACAGAAUUUUACUAAGAGCCUCACUCUCUCCAAGAGUUUCUCACUCUCACUCUAUAUUUUCUCUCCUUUGUGUUCUCCUUCGGAUGCUCUCUCAAAUGCAUUUCUAAAUGCACAAAUAUUGCAUCUAGUUAUACGCAUACACUAGCAACUAUGCCAACAAACAAGACCCAAAAGUCUUAAGUUCACAUGACAUAAUUAUCACCUAGCCUACCUAGCAUGCAUCAAAGUCUAUACCUAGUCUAUAAAGUACAACUUUUCUCCAUUUGUCAUUUAAUACAUAUAAAAUAAAACAUGCACAAUAAAACAUGCACAAUUGUGUGCAAGCAACCAUAAAGUCAAGUCUUGCUUCCAACUUUGCUUGUGGUAGUCACCAUGUCUUCUCUUGAAACAAGACAUCCAUGCCAUAACCGAAAGCCAAACACAAAGUGGUUACUGCCAUUUCCCUGUAGCACUCAGAAAGUUACACUAUCAAAAUUGUUGCCAACUCAUAAGUAUAUGAGCCAAGCACAACAGUGCAUACACUACAAAAACCAAAAAGAAAAUGCUGCAAAGGGGAAAUUGGAAAAUCAUAUCACCAGCAAACAUUGCACGAAAGGCAUCUGAAGAAGCAAGCAGGCAAGUUCUGUGAGCAUACCAUCUACCUGCAAUUGGUCAGUAGAAAUUUAAAGAGGUACUUUAUGUUAACAAUACAAUCACACACGCUAAUUGAAUACUCUGUGAUUAAGAAAAAGAAGAGGAACUCACGCUGUGCUUCUUGAAAACUGGCGAGAGAACUGGAACUGGGUUGGAAGAAUGUACUGGAAGCAAAUGGAACACCCCAGCUUUUUCAGCCUCGUCAUGAAAUAAUAUUAACAAUUCGGUCAAGUAUAAAACCAUCUGCCAGUUAUGGUUUUUGUAAAUUAUGUAGAAGCCAAAUAUCUAAUAAAUAGUCUAACAAUAAUUAAGUAAUCUGGUUUAAGAUUAAUCAAAAAGCUUGGGAAUUUCAGCUGUUAAAUCACACCUCAGGCUGCAACUCGACAAAGUCUGCGAAAUCACAAUCCAAAAUGCGAUCUUCAGUCUUCCGGCCUCUGUUGCAAAAAUUAAUCCCACAGUCCCCAAAAAAUAAAAAACUUGAAGUUUGAUUUGAAAUUAAAAAUUCAUUCUUUGAAGAUAAAUUCCAAAAAUUUAAAAUUAUAUGCGAGAGAGAGACCUUGUUAAUAUUCGGAGUUAGAGUGAGGAGUUCUCGAAUUGGGAGCGGCGGGGUUUCGUUGCAAAUUUUCCGAAGAAAAUUUCCACGAAUGAAGGGUCAUCGCGAUUUUUUGGCUGGAGGAAAUGAGGUUUUAAGAUUUUUGGAAUUUUGAGUGAAUGGACAGUGUGGCUGGUUGCGAGACAGAGAAAGAGAAGUUGGGGUGUUUUCGUCCCCUUUAAUAUCUGUUGUUGUUGCGAUUAUUUGUGAUUUAAUUAGCACUUUCUUUUCCACGAAAUAGGCGCCCAUACAACAACAGCUUGUCAGGGCGUAUUCCCGUGACUCUGACUAACAUUCAAUCAUUGCAAGUCCUGUGAGUUUCGUACACUUUCAUCUCAGUAAGAGGGAGGAGAGGGAAGUUGCUAAUUUCUCCGCCAUCAGAGAAUGCAAAUAACAUAUAGUUUUGCCAUGGAAUGCAGGGAUCUUUCAAAUAACAAUCUGACAGGGGAUAUUCCAGUCAAUGGAUCUUUUUCACUUUUUACUCCCGUCAGGUUUGUUGAACCCACUUUACUUUUUUUUUCUUUACCUUUUUUCCUGCGGUGGCUGUCCCAGCGGACGAUCUAAAUGAUGUACUGACUGCUAUUAUUCAUUUUGUAGUUUUUCCAAUAAUCCUCGUCUGAAUCCACCUCCUCCCGUUUCUCCAACCCCACCAAGUUCUCCAGGUUUUUACAACUUAUACUGUUCUUGUGAUAUUAACUCAAAUUUAUUUUGAGAACAGUUGAAUAUCAGAGUACUAGACUACAAAAUAAGAAUAUUAUUACACAAAUAAGAAUGGCAAAACGGUUGCAAAAUUUAAAAACACUACAUUGUGACACACUUGUUCUAAAGAAAAUAACAUGCAUCCUAUUUAUAAUAAAUUAUAACCUUAAUCUCUAACAAAUCCUAAUUUUAACGGGCUGACCUCAAAUCCUAAACUUAUUACUUUCCAGCUGGCUCUGUUUUGUUUCACAGACACUUGUGAUAUCGACUCCAGUCCAUUGGUAGUUAAUGUUUUUUCUUGGUGUUUUUCUGUUAAAUUUUUUUCAUAGUACAACAUUAUUGUUGGAAUCACUGCUGUAAAGAUUCUAAGAAGAUGGUAGUUAGGAAAGGAAUGGAUUGAGGAUCCGAGAGGAUACUCCUAAAUUCCUAUGAGUUUGAAGAAAUGAAUUAAAACAAUGACAUGUGAGAGGGAGUUCAUCAUAUAACAUCCGACUUUUAAGGAUUUUUCAUCUCGUUCUGGUUCAUGUUGUGCAAAUAACCCUUCCCUUUUAACUCUGGUGGUUCAUAUUAGGUGCCGGAUUCGGUGAAAUAGUGUCCGGAUUCUGUAUCGGUACGGACGUACCAUUACUUUAGCGAUUCGGUGGUGAAUUCAGUGGUUCAUCUAAUCAUAUCUGAUAAUUUCUAAUCAGAUUACAGAAAAGAAAACGCACCUGUAAUUUUUGGAAAGAGAGGAGCGAAACAACUGGAAUUUUGGGAAGCUCGGUGCUUCUGGUUUUCAUCGGGCAGAGAGAAGACGAAGAGGGAGAGGAAGAGAGAAAAUAUUACUUUCACUUUUUGGAUUUAAUUCUUUUGAUUCGAACAAAAUUUGUUGAAUUGAGGUAGCAGAUCUCUUGCAAUCUACAACUCUCCAACAAAACAAUGACUGUGUAUUUCAAGUUUGUAAAUUUUCACCUUUUUUUUUAUUUUUCACCAGAUAAGUUAAUUUCUAGAUUUGUUCAAUUUGGACUGUUAGAGAGAUUUGUAAAGGGUGGAGAGAUCACGUGUUUGUACAAGUGGUGAGAUUCUUAUGUUAAAAAUUAUUAAUAACAUAAAAAAUAAAAUUUUCCACAAUUUAUAUAAUAACACGUGAUGUAUCACUUGUGUUACGAUCACAAGGAUAAAAUUUUCAAUAUAAUGGAUCUAGAGUAAAGUACAAAAAAUUACUUCAACUAUUGGUGUCACGACACUUUCAUACCUCAUCUUUUAAAAUUGAUAAUGUCAUACCUCAUCUUAUGAAUUUGUGUCCAUGUUAUACAUUCCGUUAGGUUGGCGUGCAUUUCUCAGUUAAAUGCUGACGUGACUUGAUCUUGGGGCAAUUUUCUAUUAAAAAAUUAUUAAAAACUAAAAAAAAAUAUUUAAUAUUUUUUAAAUAUUAAAAAAAAAAAAACCAAACAAACACUCAGUCAGUUCAUCCCCUCCCCCCUUCUCUCUCUUCUUCCCCCUUCCUACAACUCCAACCCAGAAAAAAGAAGAGAGAAAAAAUAAAAAACCAAUUUGUCUUCCCCCUCCCCACCCCCUCUUCUCCCCGCACCCACUCUCCACACCCAACCACCCCACCUUCGCACCCAACCUCGCACCCAUUACCUGCAACCCAAAAAAAAACAAAAAAACCCAGAAGAAAAAAAACCAUAUCCCGUUGAGGUGGAAUCGGGAAGCCUUCGCCAGGCCGAUUCCGAAGGUUGAGAACCUGGGCGCGAAGAAAAUGGGGGGAAUGGGUGUGGAGGGAAGAGGGUGGGUGCAGGGGGGACGGACGAACUGGGUUUCUUAAAACAAAAAACAAAAAAACCCAGAAAAAAAUAAUAAUAUCCCGUUGAGGUGGAAUCAGACCUGCAGCGAACACAAGGAACUGUUGUCCAGAGAUCCCGCCCAAAAGAGUUAUGGGUUUACCAAACUCUGUUUGGGUACCAAGUAUUGGAACCGGGUAAAUCUAGACCCUUCUCUGCGACUAGAUCAUAUAAUCUCCAUAGCUGUCCAAAACGGACUACUAUUGGAUCCUCUUAAGUUGCUUUCCAGCGACUAGAGACGAUAGGCGCAUUGAAGAAUUCUUCGAUCGAGACUGCCAGAUCAAUAGCCGUCGUCAAGUAUGCCUUCGCCAGGCCGAUUCCGAAGGUUGAGAACCUGGGCGCAAAGAAAAUGGGGGGAAUGGGUGUGGAGGGAAGAGGGUGGGUGCAGGGGGGACAGACGAAUUGGAUUUCUUAAAACAAAAAAACCCAGAAAAAAAAAACCAUAUCCCGUUGAGGUGGAAUCGGGAAGCCUUCGCCAGGCCGAUUCCGAAGGUUGAGAACCUGGGCGCGAAGAAAAUAGGGGGAAUGGGUGUGGAGGGAAGAGGGUGGGUGCAGGGGGGACGGACGAACUGGGUUUCUUUUCUUCUUCUUCUUCUUCCUCCUUCUUUCUAGGUUUUUUUUUGGGGAGGGGGGGGACUGGGUUGGGUUAGGUUUUUUUUGUUUUUUUUUUUCUUUUUCUUCUUCCUCCUCCUCCUUUUUUUGGGUUGCAGGGGGUUGGGUUUGUGGUGGGGGGUUUUUUUUUUUUUUUUCCUUCUUCUUCUUCUUCCUCCAUCUUCUUUCUGAGUUUGUUGUUAGGGGGGGGGGAGAACUGGGUUGCAGGAAGAUGGGGAGAGAGAGACGGGUGGGAAGGACGAACUGACUUGAGGUUUUUUUCUUUUUUUCUUUACUUUUCUUUAUUAUUUUAAUAUUUAAAUAAUAUUAAAUAAUUUGUUUUAGUUUUUAAUAAUUUUUUAUUAACUUUUUAAUAGAAAAUGGGUCUCGGAUCAAGUCACGUAAGCAUUUACCUGAGAAAUUCACGCAAACCCUAACGGAAGGUAUAACAUUGGCAUAAAUUCGUAAGAUGAGGUAUGACAUUGUCAAUUUUAAAAGAUGAGAUAUGAAAGUGUCGUGACACCAAUAAUUGAGAUAGUUUGUACUUUAUCCAUGGAUCUAUCAGCACUCUUUUCUUAUUAUGUUAGUGGAGGGACCCAUCUGCAGUGUUGAUAUUUUUUAUAGAAGAUGUAAACAGUCGGUGACCCAUAGCAUUUCCCAAGUUCCAUAUUAAUUUGACAAUAUUUAUAUUAUUCUGAUUAGAAAUUUAACAGAAUUAAUUGUUUUUUAUUUGUAACAAAUAAUUGCUUACAAAUAAUCAAUUCUAUUAAAAAUAAUUGCUUACAAUAAACAAUAACUAUAAUUAAAAUGUAUAUAUAUUAUAAUUUUUUUUAAUUUAUAUUUUUUAACGAAUUGAGAACGAAUCGAGCUAAAUAUCAUAUUGUCUAUGUGUACACACUAACGAAUAGUACUAUAGGUUACAACCGAAUUCCGUACCCGAACAGAAUUACGAACUCGCACCGUGCCACUAAUACUGCGGCUGUUGCUGGUGCUGCUUUGCUGUUUGCUGCUCCUGCAAUUGCACUUGCUUAUUGGCGACGAAGAAAAUCACAGGAUCAUUUAUUUGAUGAACCUGGUUAGUGAACUAUAAGAGUAAUAUAGCUUGAUCAAGUUGGUGUUGUAGUUGUUGAAUGGGAUGCAGGUUUCACUCAUCUACUGUCUUUGCAGCUGAGGAGGAUCAAGAAGUUCAUUUACGACAGCUCAAAAGGUUUUCUUUGCGCGAGCUACAAGUUGCGGAUACCUUUAGCAACAAAAAUAUUAUUGGUAGAGGUGGCUUUGGUAAGGUUUAUAAAGGAUGCUUAGCUUUGGCUUUUGGUAGAGGAGGAUCAAAAGUAUUAUUGGUCGAGUUGGCUUUGGCUUUGGCAAGAUUACAAUUCAACAGUCCGGUCCCAAAUGAUAUGCACAUUGGUUCCGUUCCCUGUAUACAUGUAAGAAGCCUUCAGAGGACUAGAGAAGAUCCAUUUUGUAUUUCAGUCAUACCACACUUGUGCAUAUGUUUUGUCUUUGUUUUUUAUUUUGUUUUUGUCUCAUGUAUUUUUUAGAUCACAAAAAUGGAGCUGGCGUUGUUUUAAUUUUUAUAGGGUUAACUGGCAUUACGAAGUUAUAUGGUGCUAGCAUGAAUUAGGAAGGGCCAUAAAAGUACUCGUUCCUGAUGAUUUAUGUAUCUAUCCAGAAAUUAGUUCAGAUUGUCGAGUAAAUAAUCAUUCUGAACUUAUAACUCUCUAUAUUUUUUUAGUGUUCCUAUAGAUCCUAUAGUUACGAUAAGGACACUAGGUCAAGUGCAUGGGUGUUUGUGGAUAGAUAGUGUUUGAAAUUUCAUUGUGAUCAUUGCAAGUGUGACUUUGUGGCACUACCCUUAUAGGUACUUGAACUAAGGCAUUAGGGGAUCAAGAGAUCACUUUGUGUCAUUCCAACACAAGAAUUCGAGCUUUGUCUAAUCUCUUUAAAGUAUCGCCAAUGGGGAUCCCUCUACUAUCUUUGAGGAUUUAUUUAAGACCAACUAUAGGGUAAGACCCAAACCUAAACAUUUGAGUUUAAACAAAAUAAAAAUGCAAUCUAAUUGCGGGACUUUUUUGUUUUUUUGAACAACAAAUAUUUUCUACACGAAAAGGGUGGGAGAUUAGGUUAAGCCUUACAGUGGACUAGCAAUAAUAUUGUUCAAAUUUUCUUUUGGCGAGAAUCGAACCUAAAUACCUCUCACUUAUAUGUGAAGAAGUAAUACCACUAAACCGUAGUACUAAGUGGCAUCUAAUGGUUGCACAUAAACCUAAAAAGUUUGGCUUUUGACCCAAGCUAAACCCACAUUUGGGUUUGUAUUUGGCUGACCCAAAUUUUUGGGGGCCCUACUUUUUUUGUUUUUGAAAGGUGAAAAUUGUUUAAAAAGUAAGACUACUUGUGGGUUAAACUACCGCAAACCCUCAGUUAGCAUGCAAGGUUUUAUGAAGAGUUAAUGAUCUCAUUCAGAUUCAGGAUGGAACUUCAUCUUCCUUAAUUGUACUAAAGCAUAUUAACUUACAUGACGUUAUGUGUGAAAAUUAUAAGAAAUUGCGCCAUUCAUCUAUUGUCAAUUGGUUUAAAAAGUGAAACUCAUUUUCUUUCAAAUUUUCAUAAAACUGAGGCUAAACGUAUGUGGACCUAUUGAAAAUGUUACAUUUCGAGUUUCUACUCUAAAAUUUUCACAAUUUAGUGCGAUUAAUUUUGUACUUAAUUUCCCAUUAAGGUAGGUCAUAGGCCAAUUAUGUACCAUGAUUACCUCUUAUUAUAAGAUAGAAGUGGGGAGAUUCCAAACAAUAUUUCAUCAGCCAAAGACGAAUCAUAUUGGCCUAAUAAAAGAAAGCUAGGACGCGAUUUGAAAUAAUGAAAACCGUUGUGGCAUAUAUAUUGAUGUUAAUCAAACCAAUAUAUCACGAGAUAAAGUAUAAUUCUACUUUGUUUGAUGAAUCCAUCGAAAUCCUAUUUAAUUUAAGGAGAGGGGCAGAUUACAUCGGUUUGGUUUGACAAUAAAAAAUAAACUGAAUCAAAUAGUAUUCAGUGGUUCAGUUCGAUUCAAUUUUGAUCAAUACCACUAUUCAAAUCGAACUAAACCAAAUAAAAAAUGGAGAGAUCAUAUCGGUUUGAUUUGGUUUGAUUCGGUUGGUUUAAGCCUAUUCAACACAUAAAUAAAAAAACAUUAUACAUUUUAAGAGUUUUAUUCUUCUAAACAUCACACAUCUUGCGCGUUCCAAUUGGAUUGAAAGAUUAAAUUUUUCGGAACAUAAAAGUUCAUCAAGUCAAAUAGAACCAAGUUUCAAUUAAAUAAAGUCUCAUGCUAGCAAACAAUUUAUUAGCUAUAAACCUCAUAUAAGCAUGAAAUACAUAUAAUCAGCUUAUUGUUAAUAAUCAUUACAACUUUGUAAAAUUAAACUAAUUAAUAAUUCAAAGAGACAUGGUCAGUUCGAUUUGGUUUUGAUCGAUUUUAAAAGUAUCAAAAUAGAACCAAAAAAAAAAAUAAAUUGUUUUGGUUCGAUUUUUAAAUUAUUUGUUUUUACUUGAUCACCAAACAGACCAAAUUAAUUUUGUUUGAACCAGUUGAUUUGGUCGGUUUUAAUGCUCACCCCUAUCCAAAAUGCAUGGCUACCAACACUAGAUAAAUUGUAAAUGAGAAAUGCUAAGGAGACUCUCUCAAAAGUAGGACUCUCCAUAGACUUUCUAUCACCUCAUGUUUUUUGCACAAUAUUUUAUAAUGUUGGCACGAAAUUAAUGUUAAACUAUGACGACCCGUCCUUAAUUUUAUGAUUUUAGUAAUUUUAAAAUGUGUGAGAAUUGACGAAAAUGCCCCUAGAGGCGAGGGCGUUGACUUUGUUGACGGUCUUUUUGUGACGCGUUCGAGCUACUAUUUCACCGCAUUCUCGAACUACUCGACGAUACAGACACGUAGGCACAAGCAGAAUCGAAUUCGGAGUUGCAAUGAAAAUUUUACAGAUUUACGAAGUCGAAGAGCAUUUUAAUAAUUUCAUCAUCAUCCUAAAUAUUUGGCUCUCUAUUAUUUUAAUAUUUUCCCUUGAAUUUUUGGUCCAGUGGGACUCCCCACUUCUUUUCCCCCAAAUCUCAUGCUUCCAAAUCACUCGGAACUCUCUCUCUUCCCUAUAUCUUCUUCCUCUCAUCUCUCACCUUUCUCUUCUCUCUGUAUAAAAAAAAAAAAAAAAAAAAAGGUGGAGCCGAGCAGUACAACCACCACCUCACCACCUUUCCAGUGAACUACACCUGAACCACCAUACCAUGUCCCUCUGUCUCUCUCUUGUUAUGCAUCUUUCUCCCUCAAUCUCCAUGUCGUCUCUCUCAUCUCUACAAACAACAGGACAACCGUGAGGUUAAGGUCAUCACCAUCGCCGUCUUCCAUGGCAGAUGACCAUCGAACCAAUGUUCCCAAGAUAUCAUAUCAUCUGAAACCUAGCCUAGGUUUAAUUCCAGACAUCCCAACGGGAAUAGCUCUCGAAUCUUAGAGUUCUAACACUGCGGAGACUAUUCAGCAUGGAUCUCACCACUUUCUAUGAAGGUGAGUGUCGAUUAUGCUUUGUGUGAUCUCCCCCUUGUGGUUUAAAAUGACUUUUAGGCUUAAUGAGUGAAGUUUGGAUUGGUUUCAUGACAUAAAUGGCAAGGGAGGAAGUUUUCCAGAUUUCUGGAAAAUUAGUAACCGUGGUCAUUUGACAACUUUCAGGCCAUUUUUUUGGCCAACACCGACCUUAACUCGGCCUCACCUUGGUAUGGUGUUUCUCUCUACAUUUCUAACUUCAAAAUGGCUCUUGAAUUAUUGAUUUUGGUGGGAGAAUCAAGCUCGAUAUAAGCUCUGGAAGUCGGACAAAAAACCUGCAAAAUGCAGGCCUUCGCAAGGAAGCUGAGUACAAUGGUACUUGCAGGCACGUAGGCAUGCGUGGGCUUUACAUGGGUCAUCGGCGCGUGGAGAAACCCGAGGUCCCUCUUUAGGUUUCUCGACAUGCUGGACCCGAAUCCGCCCUCAUUUUUCCCCACACUUUGUAUGAAAAUGUGUUUAUACGUUAGUACUUUACGUAUUUACAUAUAUGGUUUCGUUUCUAGGCGAAAUGCCUCGAAAGGACUCUCGAUGCUACGAGUCGGGUUCGACUCAACGACAGGAUUUGUGAGUGGGUCUUUUCUUGAUACAUACAUACAUACAUACAUACAUACAUACAUACAUACAUAUAUAUAUAUAUAUGUUUAGUUUCCAUAUAUACAUCUAAUAAUGAAUUUUCUAUAUGAAUGUCAUAGUUAAAUUAAUAUUUAUAGAAAAUGACGUAACGAAGAGAAUUAGGAAAAUCAUUAUGAAUCUUACGGGAUGCCUUAGCUAAAUUUACGGCUAUGAAUAAUAUUAUGUUGACUAGAAUUAUCAAAUCAUUAUGGCAUGGCUACAUUUAUGUUAUUUGCUCAUCGUUUGCUGCACCGGUGUUAGUACUCGCCUGGGCCAGGGCCAAUCUUUCACGUGUAUGUGCACAUCGCACUGUACGCUCACUUUGGAUCCCUUGUAGGUGUCAGUCCUAUCGUACAGGUUGCAAUAGGCAGCUUCGACUUGUAUGUGUUGCGCAUAGCGCCAGUCUUCGCAUGAUUGUAGUACUAUAGUGUAUAUCAUUGUUACACCCAGUCCUAUUCAUGUCAGAAUACCUCUGCAUGAACUCAUGUGUCAGCAUGUGUCAAUGAGNCCACUAAACCGUAGUACUAAGUGGCAUCUAAUGGUUGCACAUAAACCUAAAAAGUUGGCUUGACCCAAGCUAAACCCACAUUUGGUUUGUAUUUGGCUGACCCAAAUUUUUGGGGGCCCUACUUUUUUUGUUUUUGAAAAGCAAUGGGCAAAUUAUAUUAUAUACUAAAAGAGAAAAACGCCUGAAUCACUAUUCAUAGUACAGUGGAUUUUCGAUUUUGUCCUCGCUUAUUUGUCUAUUAUUAUAGCCUUGCCCCUAUUGCUUUGCUGUCAAAUGCUUAACAGUUUCGCGACGCGUGGAAAUUCCGGAGCCUUCUUUGUUAUUUUUCCCUCACCAUUUGGCUGUUUCCUCGCCCACCGCAUAAUUCUUCUACUGCUGCCAAUCCAUAAACCACAACGCGAAUCCGACCGCCUCUUCUUUCCCCUUCACUUUCACGGUUCCACCCCAACAUCAUCGGUAAGCUUUGAAACGUUUUUAUGGGUGUGAGUUUCUGAAUGCAUGUCUAAACUUUGAUUGGAAUUUGGUUGUUUCCUUAAUUCCCAUCAACCCUUCUCACAACUUCAUCUAAAAUGCUCUGCAUGUAAGAUCUGUGUUCGUGUAGGUCAUUUCAAAGGGAUUUCAAGCUGGGUUGCAAAGAUUUGAUUCAAGUUUGUGGAUUUGGGUAAGAAAUUAAGAACCCCUAAUCUUUUCUUAAGGUUUUAAAUGCCACAUGCAUCACAAUAAUCCAUUCAAAAUCACAAUUUUCCUCCGUGCUUCCUCCGUUAUUUCUUCACCAUCAACCUUGCGGCAACUUCCUUGCCGAUUCGAGCUGCUCGACCAUGACAUGAACGCCGCCUCCACACGUUUGACUCGCUGUACGUCCUUGGCUUGCCGCUCUCCUUAUCUCCCGGUGAUUCAUUCUCCUCAUUGGAUUCUAUUUGGGUGAGUUCUUGGUUGAUACUCGCCCCCAUGAUUUUUCAAUUUGGUUUUUUUGGGUGUCUUUAGUCGUCGUGUUGAUAAAAAUUUUCUGCGUUUUUUUGCUUUUCGUUUGUGGUUUUUUUUUAAAUUUUUUUGGGGGUUUGAUGAAUGAAUUUGUGUGGGAGUUUUUGAAGUUUUAUUAAUUAUGUUGUAUUUGGGCCCCUGGGUAAGCUUAGAAACCUUUGUAGAUGUCGCAUGCAUGUAGAUUUUUCUUCAAACAUAUGAAGAAUUGUUAGUCUGCUGUACAAUUUCCUCUGCCACCCUUGGAAAAUCAACAUGCACAGACAUUUUAGAAUUCUUCAUUUAAAUUUGCAGGGUUCAGGACAGUUUUUCUUUUAAAGUUAUGGGUUCUUUUGAUAUGAUUUUUUUUUAUUUGAAUUAUUCAUUUAAUUUUUGAGAUCUUUUAGCAAAUCUCCAAAUUGACUCAUAAUGAUUAGGCUUGAAACAGAUGCUAUAAAUCAGUUUUGGUGGAGGAGUUGUUCCGCAGCCUCAGGAAAAAUAGAGGAAUGUUUUUGAAAUAAGGUCUGAUCGAAACUUUUGUAUAAAAUUUCACAAUUUUUGAGUUUUAAGCCAUUCAAAUUCACAUUUGCCUACAUUAAUAUAUUAAGUAGGUUACUUAUUGAUUUUUUUUUGGGAUUUUCUGUUUUUCAUGGUUUCCUAAUCCUUUGUCCGACUUGAAUGUGUAGCUAAGCAUACCAGCAAAUCAAAAGGUUUUUUGAGACGGAGGGGUGCUCUGGCUAUUCCAAUAGUUUCGGUACUGCUAGCAUGUGGUAUUAAUCAUUGUGUUGCCUUUGCCAUGCUAAGCGGAUAAAAAAAGAGUAAAACAAAAGGUAUGAGAAGUAGUCAUCCCCUCUGAAUUGUUUAACGGUUUGAUCUAAAUAAAAGCAAUGCAAUUUCAUCUUAAUGAAUGUCUACAAUUGGUUCAUGUGAUAGCACAGACUAUACGGAGAGAGAUGAACUUGAAGAAGCGAGGAGACACCCCGAGUUGCAAUAUUUCGGUCUGAGCACCAUAAUAGCAGCCACAGAUAACUUCUCACCCAUUAACAAACUCGGCCAAGGGGGUUUUGGCAUUGUUUAUUAGGUGAAUCCCAAUUCAGAAGUCUUACACAUUUUACAAUUGAAUGAUUUCUUCUAAGCAUUAUACAGUAAUUUUGUUCUGUUUCUUAUGUCUACUGUUUUUUUUUUUUUUUUUUUUUUUUUUUUUUUUUUUUUUUUUAUAAAGCAUGAAAGCCUAAUAGUAAUACUGAUUCAUUACUUCAGGGCCACUUGCCAAAUGGUCAGAUUAUUGCUGUAAAAUAUGUAGAUUGCACUUGAACAAGGUUUGUUUCUCGAAUCACAUUCAUUAGUUAGAUUAUUAAUGUGCUUCGAGAGGGGUUUUCAAUAUGAUUUUGUAAUUUCCCUUGAGAACUGUUUACACGUUUCCAUAUGGGUUUUUUGAACUACAGAAAAUUUUGUCAUUCCUAAGAUUUAAUUGUUGUUAUUGUAUAGUUUAAUUAUUUUCCCCUAAUAUGAUUGAAUGGUAAUUAGUUGUAUAAAUUUGGCUUUGACCGUUCUUUCUCCUCCUUGGGUUCUAUUUCCGUCUCUGACCCCAUUGAACUUCAGUUGAGCUCAAGUAAGCAGUCCUAGCGGCCAGCCUUCUUUUAGGUCACUCAAGGAUAAUUGGGAUCAAAUAUUCGCAUUUUCAUUGUUUGAAGUAGGAAGCACCACUUUUUCCUCUAAUUUUGUUUCUUCUGAAAUUUAAUGGUUCUGAUUUGAAUCAUCUUGCAGAAGAUUGAGAAACAGAAGGUUGGAGGACUAGAUGAUCAAGCAUUGACUUAUUUUUAAAGAAAAGGUAAACCACGAAAAUCCCAAAGUGAUAUCCCACGACCUACAACUAUUUUUGUAUUUGAUUAAUUUAAUUCUUAAUAUUUUUCCGCGUUGAUUUAUGUUGAACUAUGUCUGAAAGGUGGCCUUUGUUCAGAUUGAAAUACAAAAUUAAAUCACAUUUGAUCAGUUAAAUCACAUCUAUAUUAAUGUGCAAAUUUGCAGGAUAUUGACUAUAAUAUUCACUUAGUCAGUUCUCUGUAUUAUCCUUUCUUCAACAGGGGUUGAGAACAAUAUUUAAUAUGUAGGUUGAAUUGAUUGAAUAUUUGGUUUUGUUGGUUGAAAAGUUUAAUAUCGUUUAUUUGUAUGCUCUGAUCUUUGGUUGACGCUGUUAUGUGGAAAAGACCCCUUAUAAAAGAUUAGAGAUGUAACUGGUACUUUGUCUAUAUUCCUGUAAUUUGAUUGUAUAUUGUUUUAUUUACUUUUGUAGGUUAGAGUUUUUAAUUUUUAUGGGUUUAUUGAAUGCGUAAUUCUCUAAGCAUUCGAAAAGGUAAGAUUUGGGAGAGUGAGAAUUUGUAAUUACCUUGAGAGGAAUUCUUUUUAUUGCAUCUACAAAAUAUUUAACAUCAUCUACUAACAACGCUUUGGCUUUCCAGUAAACAAAUAACAGAAGGACCUCCAUACAUUCAUGAGCAUCACUUUUAUUUAGUGGAUUACAAUGAAUUGUUAUCUCACGUAGAUAAAGUUGAAAUUCUCAUAGGUAAUUAAACACAUUUAUAAAUCUACAUCUAUAUGCCAUUUUUGUUUGCCAACAUUUUUUCAUCCUAUAAUCUUAUAAUAUUGGAUUGCCAAAUUGCAAGAUAUUGUGGGACGCAUCACAUCAGUGCAACCAGACAGUUUUGAAUCCCGCAGCAUUGCGCGGGCUUCACUGCUUGUGAUUUACUAAAGUGGCCGACAGAUGGACCCCUCAGCUGGCAGGGUACCAGUUGCAAAACGGUAACAUUUUAAGGGACUACGAGCCGUUUUAUUUUUGGGCCAUUGGUUUUUGGGCCAUUGGUGAUCAACGGUCUAGGUUAAAAUCUUUUUUUGUUUUGCAAUCUUUAGAUUUUGAUCUGAUUGUUCAUAUUUUUUUUUUCAAAUCUAAUUGUAAAAAAAAUCCAACUGCUGAAAUUUAAAUUAAAUGUCAAAAUAAUAAAAUAAUUUUUUAGAACAUAUCCACUUUACAUUUGGAUGGUGUGUGUAUUGAAGUUUGGUUGGUUGGUGUGAUUUGUUCGGUUUUGAAAAUUUUGUCGAAAUUUAAUCAUUUAAUGUCAAAAUACUCGUCAAAUUAAAUUAAAAUAAUAUAAUUCAAAAGUACAAAAAAAAUUAAAAAAAAUCCCACCAAAAAAAUUAGGGUUAAAACUAUAUUCCACAACAAUUAGCAUUUUAGGUCCUGAAAUUUAGGUCUUGGUAUUUGGGUGAUAUUCACUGUUCAUAGACUUAAAUUCCGUCUUUUUAAUGGUCUUUUAAAGGGGUGUGUAGUCAAAUUAGGAUUUGAUAGCAUUUUGAUGGAUUUUAAAAUCUAAGUGCAUUCAAUUAGGAUUUUAAAAGAUUUUGAAAUCAUAGUGUAGUCAAAUUAGGAUUUUAUAGGAUUUUAAAGAAUACAUCAAAAUCCAAGGAUAGUCGAUUAGGAUUUUAAAUGAGUCUGCAGAUGUCUAGGUGUAGUGAAAUUACCAAGGAUUUGCUAGGAUUUUGAUGAGUGAUGGAUUUUAAUGGAUUUGAGGGUUUGUGGUAUAAAUACCAAAUGUUAUCCAACCCUUACCCCUCAAAUUUCUUUUCACACCAGAGGAACAGUCUUCUCCAUUUGAGAGGACCUACUGUGAACUCAGCCGACUUGGACUUCUAUGGCUGGUCGUGAAAUCUUUGCAAGCAUGAGAAGAUGUCCCAGCACCACCAACUUAUUUUUUUCUUUCUUCACCGACUACCCAAACAUCUCACGUAAAUUCCCUUGCUGACUCUUCCUUUCCCUUCAACUACUUCCUAUCUCUGUUGUACUUUUAUUUACAGAAUACACCUUGUUCAAUUUUGCUUUGGUGCCUUUGAAAUGUCACCAUUUAUUAUUAAAACCAAUCAACGUCACUCUCGAAACACGUAUUAUUUGGCUUGGGUUGGAUCAAUUCAUCCAACCUGUAUACAUUCUAAACAUUAUUAAUUUGUGCUAUUACUACGGUAUGAAAAUAUGCAAUUAACUAGUCCUUGGAUUGAGGAUCGUGAUUUCAGACAGUGUAGUAGAAUACACAUAACAAUUAGGGUUUCAAUUGCAGAGAGUUGGAGAGGUUAAUCUCAGCCACAGAGUUUCAUUAAAAAUGAUCUGACGGCAUUGUAUGUGAUUUCUAAAUUUUUUUAAAAUCCUAGGAAAUCCAAGAAAGAAUCCAUACAAAUCCAUACAAAUCUAUAAGAGAAAUCCACAUAAAUCUGUCAAAAUCCAUAUGGAAUUGUAGAGUCCAUUAAAAUCCUUUAAAAUUUGUCACCUAAACAAAAUCCAUUAAAAUCCUCUAAAAUUCAAAUUGAUUACACCCCCUAAAUAUUUUGGUUUGGGUGUAAGGGUUGGAGUUGGUCUAAGGACUUUAAUGGAAUCUUUGAAUUCCUAUAAGUGUAUUGCCUCAUAGCGAACCGGGAUCCUCGCAGGAUCCAUUCCCUAGGGAUCCCGCAAUUCUAUCCGUUCAUCGUAUAUCAUGCGGUCAGUUUUCGUUAGGUACUAUUUACAUUCGAAUUUUAAAUUUUAAAUUUUAAAUGAUUUCUAACCGCACGAUAUACGAUAAACGAACAAGAUUGCAAGAUCACUAGGGAAUGGAUUCGACGAGGAUCUUGGUUCUACAAUAGCUUCACUAUUGGCUAUAGCUUAUGUCAUGGUUUAUAUUAUAGCUCAUGUCAUGGUUUAUUAUUUCUAAUCAAAGUUAGACUUCGACUCUUUGCAACCCUUGGUCAACUAAAUGAGUUAUUAAUUAAAAGUCGUUUGAUAAUUAUUUUGUUUUUAAUUUUUAAUUUUUAGUUUUUACUUUUCUGUUUUGAAAUUAGCCAAAAUGGUCUCUGAAAUUAGCAUAACUUCUCACUUUGAUUCCUGAAAUUUAAAAUUGCCAGAAGUGAUUCAUGAGUUUGUUAAUUAUCAAUCAUUUUGAUCAUUAUGUUAAAAAUAUCCAUUAAAUAAGGAGCAAAUAACAAAAUAACCUCAAUUUAAUAAAAAAUGGGCCAUAAUAAUUUGAUAAAAAUUGAGUGUAAUUUUGUUUUUUCAUGAAAUGAUUAAAAUAAGGGAACUUUAAUGAAAAGUUUAUAGUACUGUUCACUUUAACGAAAAAUCAUAUUUUUACAAUAAAAAGUUAAUCCUGGUACUAUUCAUUUUACCCAUUAUUUUGUCAUUAUCAUUAAAACUCAAAGUUUUCAAACCAUUUUUAUUAAUUUUUCUUUAAAACAAUUUAUAGUGGAUUAAACCAGAAAUCUCAUUUUGAGUGAGGAGUUGCAUAGCAAUUUCAGGAAUCAGCUGAAAAGUAAAAAAUAAAUAUAAACAAAAGAAGAAACGAAACUUCCGACCUGGUGGGUUGCGACUUUGGUUUGGUAUUGCUGUGCUUUGAAAAAAAACUGUUUCUGCUGUGCUGUGAGAAUAAGCAGCUGUGAAAUAAAACAGCAGAGUGUUUGGUAAAUUUUUUUGUAAAAAUGCUUUUGAAAAAAAAAACAGUAUUAUAGUGUUUAGUAAACUUUUAUGUAAAACAGAUGUGAAAAAAAAAAAACCGAUUUUUCAAAGUUGGGUUUUGCAGCUUCCUGUUUUUGGUUUUUUUCACACAAAACUGUAAAAAAAAAAUGUGAAAUUGAAUGUUUACCAAAUACAAUAAAGCUGCCAGCUUUUUUUUAUACCAUUUUUUUUCAGAAUUACCACCGUACCAAAUCAGGGCUUAAACUGACUGAGAGGUCCUCUAUCCGCAGCUCCUUCGUCUUCCUCCCAAGCCUUUUACCUUUUCUUUCUUUCUUCUCCAAAACUAGCAAUCUGAGAUUUCAACCUCUCUCUCCAAGGAGCAGCGGCAUGCUUUUCCAAACGUAAUCUGCAAUUUAAUCAAACAGCCACCAAAUUUUCUGGAAUCCGGUCAAUGCAGAGAUUCUUCGGAUUUUGAUCGGUCAACGCCAGCUGCUUACCUGAGCUCUAACAGACACAACAGUGAUAACGUCCUCCACCUCUGUCUCUGUUUGGCUGAUUCUGCUGUUUCGCUUCUUUCACCUCCACAAGCUUGCUGCCAAUGUCGAAGGUAUGUCUCUGUGUGUUAUUGAAAUUGGGAGUGUUUGGUUGUGGGAACUGGAAUGAACUAAUGAAUGAAUGACUGGAAACAUUCCCGAAGAGCUUGGGGGUUUGUCAGACUUGGU